RNAcentral lists this long non-coding RNA (63273 nucleotides) under Triticum aestivum (bread wheat). RNAcentral's name for it is "long non-coding RNA (TAES_LNC021560)". The record is from RNAcentral. Lineage: Eukaryota; Viridiplantae; Streptophyta; Magnoliopsida; Poales; Poaceae.
CACUAGUAGAAAACCACCAAUCAGUCCCGGUUCAUAAGGGCCUUUAGUCCCGGUUCGGGAACCGGGACUAAUGGGUCGUUACUAAUACCUCAACCCAUUAGUCCCGGUUCAAACACGAACCGGGACCAAUGUGCCUCCACGUGGCCCUGUGCGCCGAGCCCAGUCAGGGGGCCUUUGGUCCCGGUUGGUGGCUCCAACCGGGACCAAAAGGCGUCCACGUGUCUGCAUUCCAGUGGCCUGAGUUUCUUUUUGAAAGGAGGGGGGUUGGGGGGUUUUGGGGGGUUUUGGGGGGUUAAUUUAGGUGUUUCGUAUAUUGUGUUAGCUAGCUAAUUAAUAGAGAGAAGUGUCCUCUCUUAAUUAUGUCCGUGCUUGCUCGACGCUACGUAGUAUAUAUACAUAAGUGAUCGAGAGAACCAUUCAGUACAGAAGUUCGUCAUGCAUACCGAGAGAAGUGAUCGAUCGACCUCUCCUUCUCCGAGAGAUUGGUCGAACAACAAGUUUUACUGGCUACAUACAUGUACAAUCUAUAUAAGAUCUCUUAAUUACAAACCACUAGCAUUUGAAUUCAAGUUCCACAUGGUAUUCUCCGGCUUUACUGAUGACGUGUUCAAGAAAGAAUCCCGCCAAUUCCUCUUGAAUUGCUUUCAUGCGAUCUGGUUCUAGGAGUUCAUCCCGCAUCUGCCACGUCUAAUUAAUUUGAAGAAGGGGCUUAAUUAAUACAUAUAUAUGAAUGAAACUCAACAGAAAUGAUGGUGUAAUAAAAUGAAAUUGUGAAUAUUAUUGCUUACGCACUUCAUAUUGUCUUCUAGAGUAGCCCCGCUUGUUUUUCAAUGUCGCGUUGUGGAUGAACUCGCACACGUAGUAUCCACAGAAAUCAUUCCCUUCCUCCUGCCACAAGCACUUUACGAGAAAUAGAGGUCAAUCAAACUGAUAAUGAAGCAUUAUAUAAAUGGCAUUGAUGAAAGUAUAGCUAUAGAAUCAAUGGGAGAUGCGCGCCAGUAGUACUUACUUUCGGGUAUGUAUAUCGCAGCUCCUUCGGCAGUCCCGGAGCUUGUGCGGUGAAAUGUUUCCAAACCCUGCAAGACAAAGAAAAUAUUUGUUAUUACUUGAGAUAUCAGGAAAUGAACAAAAAGUUGCCGAUAUGGUGCGAUAAUGAUCGAUUGAACUUACUUGCUGAGCAUUUCAGUCAUGUCCGCAUAGGUGUUGGGAUCUUUCCGUCUGGAGUCUAAGACGGUUACUAGUCCACGCUCAAGCUUAAUCUCCAGAAGAAUAUAGUGGUACCUACACGCAUGCAUAACUCAUCAAUUACAUUAACCUCGCUCGAGUAAUAAGGAAAACCGAAUAUGCACACGACAGUAACACUCACGGGCCGUGGUAAGGAAAGAGUAUGGUAUCUUUGUUUUGAUUUUUUAUCAAUGAUUGUAGCAAGUUGUCCUCGGCCUCUUCGGCGCGCUUUUUAACCAGAAAAACAUCUAUGAUAUUUGUGUUAAUGAACCCAAUAUCAUAGAUUUCAUUUUUUUUGCACUCGACGAUCUUCAAUCUGCAUAAUAUAUUGAGGAUAAUUAAUUAUAAAUACAUGCAAUGAAAGAGCCGAGCUAUAUAUACAGACUAAUAACAGAAAUAGUACUUACAGGCAGUAGAAAAAGACCAUUAAUUUAUCGAGGGCCUUUUGAUUGAAGAACUCGAAGAACUCCUCAAAUGGAAUAGACAACAGAUCAUUUGAAACGAGGUCGUGCUCCUCUUUAAUUUUCAGAUACAAAGUGUUCGUCCCCUCAGACUCUCUGCAGGUUUUCAUGUACCAACUGUGGAAUCUUCGCAUCAUUGUUGUCAGAGACUUUUCAUCUUUGACGAGAGGCUUCCCGUACUCGUAUCUGAAUAAGUCCACCUCCAUGAAAUCAGGAAGUGCAUCGUCAGGCAGGUAAUCUUCAAGAUUGCCAUAACCGGCCACCGUCCCCGGAGGAUUAGACACAUUCAGCGGGGGGCACGAUUGCUGUGCUUGUUCGCCGAGCUGGGCAAUUUUUUUCCCCUUUGCCCGUUGUUCUUUUAACCUUUUAUCAGUGACAGUAGUUCCCGACCGCUUGGCUUGGAGAUAUGUCUGUUCAGUAAUGCGCUCAUAGUUGGUUCUCGGCGGAGACUUUGGUGGUUUCCUCAGGGCAUCGAGAGUGUGCUUUGCUUUCACCGGAUCGACCUUCUCCUCCGGAGGUGGAUGUAUCUUUGCUUUAACCCCUUCAAAGAACUCCUUCACUUGGGUCUGCACGAUCGUAUCGUUUUCCUCCUUGCUCCUCUCAUACGGUAACUUCUCUACAGGCUUUAGAGGUGGACCGUAUCUGUAUUGCCUCUCUCUUCUUGUGCUGCUAGACGCCGGAGCAGACGGAGCGGCUGCGGCGUCUGUCUUCCUUCGUGCUUGCUUACGAGGCGGAGGAGAAGGACUAUGACGCGUCGGAGCAGCCGGGGCGGCGGCGGGUCUCUUCCGCCCUUGCUGGCGAGGCGGAGAAGGAGGAGGCGGAGUGCCGCCACGCGCCGGAGAAGGGGGCGGAGUGCCGCCACGCGUGCCCUGAUCUUCACUCGCCGGAGGAGGAGGCGGUGGAGGAGGCGGAGUGCCGCCAUGCGUGCCCUGAUCGUCACUCGCCGGAGGAGGAGGCGGUGGAGGAGGCGGAGUGCCCUGACUCGCCAGAUGAGGAGGAGGAGGCGGAGGCGUCCAGUUCAGAAGGUCGAUGAGCUCCUUCCGCCAUAGGCAUGGAGUCUUCAGAGCAGAACCCAGCCUAGUCUCCCCUUCACCGGUAGGGUGCUCAAGCGCGAGGUCCUCAAAUCCCUCCGUUAUUUCAUCAACCAUCACCUUAGCAAAUCCUUCUGGAAUCGGCUGGCAGUGAUAAGUUGUGCCGGGUCCACUAGGAUAAACUUGGCCAACAGCCGCCUUGACCUUCAAAUUCAUGCAUCGCGCCAUAAUGUGGCAAUUUUGAGACUCCGUGAUACCAUCCACGGGAUAGCUGGCAGGAGCCGUCAAGACAUGCUCCGGCUGAAGCAGCUCGGUGGAAGCAACGCUGCUUCUGCGCUGAGAUGGCGGGGUAGCUUCGGGGGAAGCUUCGGCAUGUCGUUUGUUGCGAUCUGCUGCUUCUCGUUCCUCUUCUCGAUCCUCUAGCCCCAUUACCCUUCCAAGCAGCGCCUGCAUUUGGUCAUGCUCCACUUUCUUCCUCCUCUCGUGGGUUUUGUAACCCCCUGCGUCCGGAAAACCAACCUUCCACGGAAGCGAGCCUGGCGUGCCUCGUGUCCGUCCAGGGUGCUCGGGAUUCCCAAGGGCCAUUGUGAGCUCGUCCUUCUCCCUGUUUGGAAGGAACAUCCCUCGCUGCGCAGCAUCAAUAUAUUGUCGAAGUUUCUUGACUGGUGUUUGCAGUUGCUCGUUCGUCCACUGACACUGUCCUGUUACAGGGUCCAAGGUUCCGCCAGCCCCGAAGAACCAAGUCCGGCAACGGUCUGGCCAGCGCAUCGUCUCUGGUUCGAUCCCUUUUUCAAGCAGAUCAUGCUCAGCCUUGGACCACUUAGGCCGGGCUUUGAGGUAGCCACCUGACCCCGUGCGAUGGUGAAGCGUCUUCUUCGCAGCAUUUUUCUUGUUUGUCUCCGACAUCUUCUUACUCUUUUCCGAUGUCUUGUGGGCCACAAAUGCGGGCCAGUGAUCUUUGAUCUUCUCAUAUUUGCCGAUGAAUUCUGGUGUCUCUUUUUUCUUGACAAACUGGUUCAGCUCUUUCCUCCACCUCCUCAUUAGGCCAGCCAUCUUCUUAAGAGCACAAGACUUGAUUAAUUGCUCUUUAACUGGCUUCUCCGGAUCCUCCUCUGGCGGUAGGGUGAAAUUUGCCUUCAGCUCAUUCCAAAGAUCUUCUUUCUGCAUAUCAUUGACAUAAGACACCUCAGCGACUUCAUCCUUAGCAGGCUUAUACCAUUGCUGGAUGCUGAUCGGGAUCCUGUCCCUAACAAGAACCCCGCACUGAGCAGAAAAUGCCUUCUUUGUCCGGAUGGGUUCAAUCGGUUCGCCGUCGGGCGCGAUUUCUAUGAUCUCAAACUUUUCAUCCGAGCUCAACUUUUUCUUCGGGCCUCGUCUCCUUACCGAAGUUGUGCUCGAUCCGGAGGGCUAGAAAUUAUAAGGAAGAAAGACGACAGUACUUAAUAUGUGUACAUAUACCAAAACAAUGGAUGCAUCAAUUAACUUGUCAGCACGGGCUUAACUAAUAUAUAUAUACCUGGCCGGACUCGGUUCGGUGACUCGGCUCGGCACAGUCUCCUUCGUCUUGUACCUCCAUUGUGUCACCGGAGCCAUCAUGAACAUAGUCCUCCUCUUGUGCCGGCAUUAAUGAGUCGAAGCCAUCAUAAUCAUAGCCCUCUUCUUCAUCCAUCUGACCAACGGUGUCGAUGAGAAAUGACACAACAUCAUCACUUCCAUUUGCGAUUAUUUCCCCCAACAUCGCUUCUGUUUCUUCGUCUCGGGAGUGCUCCAUAGUUUCUGCAAAUAUUGACAACAUGUCAAUUAUUAUUCAAACAUGGUACAUACUGCCAAACCUAGAACUAGCUAGCUAAUCACAAUAAGGAAUCAUGUUAGUGGCAUCGACGCUGCUUCUCUAGGGUUUGGGGUCGCCUCGACACAAAGCUUCAAGGGUUUGGGGUGGCCUCGACGAUAACGCUCUUUUAACUUGAUAAAUUUGGGUGGCCUCGAUCGAGAGAGUUAAUUUGUCGGGUAGGAGCGCAGCGGGAGGGGGUACGUAGGAGACCUGCAACAUCGUUUUCUCUCUAGGGUUUGGGCGUCCUCGAGAGUUUUGGUCGAGCGAGAGGGCCGAGGGGGGUGCUGCAGUUGUAUCUAGAGGGGGUUAAUUAUAUCGACAACGACGCGACAUACAUAUACAUAUCGGGGAGGGGGUAUCGGUACCACCCCCUCGUGUUGAAGUUUCUUCUUUCUCCUUUCCUUUCUUUCUUCUUCUCCUCUUCUUUUUCUUCUUCUCCCUCGAGAAAGGAAAAUAAUUAAGGAAAAGGAAGAAAAGAGGAAGAAGGAAGAAGGAAGAAGAAGAAGAAGUAAAAGAAGAAAAAAAAGAGGAGAAGAAGAAAGGAAUAGAGGAGAAGAAGAAAAAAUAGAAUUUCUCCUUUCUCCUCUAUUCCUUUCUUCUUCUCCUCUUCUUUUUCUUCUUUUUUCCUCUUCUUAUUUAUUUCUCCUCUUCUUCCUCUCCUCUUUUUCUCCUUUCUUCCUCUUCUUAUUUUCCUUUUCCCUCUCAUUCUUUUAGUAUUGCUUGUUUUAAAAAAAAUGUUCAAAUAGAAAAUUCCAAAAAAAAAACAAAGGUUUUGCCUAAUGCAUUGUUCAUAUGAAUAUACCAACAUUUGCAUAUUCUACAAUAAUUAAUAUCAACAAAAAAAUCUAUGAACAGAAAAAAAAACGAACUUUUCUAAAAAUCUAUCUUUUGCAUAUAUAUAGCCACAUAUGAACAGAGCCGCAUAUAUACANNNNNNNNNNNNNNNNNNNNNNNNNNNNNNNNNNNNNNNNNNNNNNNNNNNNNNNNNNNNNNNNNNNNNNNNNNNNNNNNNNNNNNNNNNNNNNNNNNNNNNNNNNNNNNNNNNNNNNNNNNNNNNNNNNNNNNNNNNNNNNNNNNNNNNNNNNNNNNNNNNNNNNNNNNNNNNNNNNNNNNNNNNNNNNNNNNNNNNNNNNNNNNNNNNNNNNNNNNNNNNNNNNNNNNNNNNNNNNNNNNNNNNNNNNNNNNNNNNNNNNNNNNNNNNNNNNNNNNNNNNNNNNNNNNNNNNNNNNNNNNNNNNNNNNNNNNNNNNNNNNNNNNNNNNNNNNNNNNNNNNNNNNNNNNNNNNNNNNNNNNNNNNNNNNNNNNNNNNNNNNNNNNNNNNNNNNNNNNNNNNNNNNNNNNNNNNNNNNNNNNNNNNNNNNNNNNNNNNNNNNNNNNNNNNNNNNNNNNNNNNNNNNNNNNNNNNNNNNNNNNNNNNNNNNNNNNNNNNNNNNNNNNNNNNNNNNNNNNNNNNNNNNNNNNNNNNNNNNNNNNNNNNNNNNNNNNNNNNNNNNNNNNNNNNNNNNNNNNNNNNNNNNNNNNNNNNNNNNNNNNNNNNNNNNNNNNNNNNNNNNNNNNNNNNNNNNNNNNNNNNNNNNNNNNNNNNNNNNNNNNNNNNNNNNNNNNNNNNNNNNNNNNNNNNNNNNNNNNNNNNNNNNNNNNNNNNNNNNNNNNNNNNNNNNNNNUGUGGCGAUGAACUGCAAAACUGCAAAAUGCCACUUAUAUACAAGGAGCAUUGGUCCCGGUUGGUGGCACCAACCGUGACUAAUGCCACCUUUAGUCCCGGUUGGAGCCACCAACCGGGACCAAAAGCCUCAAUUUCGGCAGCCCAAAGGGCGGGAAGCUGCGGCCUUUGGUCCCGGUUGGUGGCUCUAACCGGGACUAAAGCCCCCCCUUUAGUCCCGGUUGGUGCCACCAACUGGGACCAAAGGCCCCUGCGCUGCCCGCGUCGGGGCCAAAGUUUAGUCCCACCUCGCUAGUUGAGAGGGGAGCGCAGUGGUUUAUAAGCCCCACUGCCGCUCCCCUCUUGAACUCCUUUGUACUGCAGGCUUAUGGGCCUACUUGCUACUUCGUUGCCUGUUGGACCUUCUGGGCCUUCUGCGGGCCUGAAUCCUGGCCCGAAAUAGGGAUACAAGUCGUAUUCAGGCCGUGGCGGCCCAGUAGGUGGCAUUUUUUUUCUUACUUUAUUUAAUUUAUUUUGUUUCUACUUACAACAAAAUACUUAUUGUUGUUUUUUUGUUUUGUUUUCUGCAUUAUUUAUUUUCUUUUGUUUUUUCUCUAUUUUUUAAAUCUUUUUGCUUCUAGUUUUAGGAAAAUUAUAAACUUUCUGUUAGUGCCAUUACUAAUUUUCAAAUUUGAAAACACUUUUUUUUUGUUUUCUUUCUUGCUUUAUUUAAUUUAUUUUGUUUCUACUUACAACAAAAUACUUAUUGUUGUUUGUUUGUUUUGUUUUCUGCAUUANNNNNNNNNNNNNNNNNNNNNNNNNNNNNNNNNNNNNNNNNNNNNNNNNNNNNNNNNNNNNNNNNNNNNNNNNNNNNNNNNNNNNNNNNNNNNNNNNNNNNNNNNNNNNNNNNNNNNNNNNNNNNNNNNNNNNNNNNNNNNNNNNNNNNNNNNNNNNNNNNNNNNNNNNNNNNNNNNNNNNNNNNNNNNNNNNNNNNNNNNNNNNNNNNNNNNNNNNNNNNNNNNNNNNNNNNNNNNNNNNNNNNNNNNNNNNNNNNNUGCAUUAUUUAUUUUCUUUUGUUUUUUGCUUUAUUUUUUAAUUCUUUUUGCUUUUAGUUUUAGCAAAAAUUAUAAACUUUCUGUUAGUGCCAUUACUUUUCAAAUUUGAAAACACAUUUUUUUGUUUUCUUUCUUGCUUUAUUUAUUUUAUUUUGUUUCUACUUACAACAAAAUACUUAUUGUUGCUAUUUUUAAUUAUUACGAGGGCCGAACCAUAAGACAUUUCAAAUGAACUCUGAAAAAGUUGAAAGUUGGCAUGGUAUCAUAAAUUGACCCACACAUAGCAUGUGCAUGUACAAAACGAACAAUGGUAUCAUACUCAUCAGUUACAAUGGUAUCAUAAACGAACAAUAGUUGCGGGAGAAAGUCUUCACUUUUUCUUCGCUUGCGUCAUUUGCUUAUUGCGCCGUAACCAUGGAUAAUCUUCAUCGUUUAUCAGGAUGCUGGGGUCAGCCUUGACUUUAAAGGGAGGAAUUUCAUGAAACUUUUCAUAAUCUUCAGACAUGUCUGUCUUGUCCUCCACUCCCACGAUGUCCCUUUUUCCUGAAAGAACUAUGUGGCGCUUUGGCUCAUCGUAUGAUGUAUUUGCUUCCUUAUCUUUUCUCUUUCUCGGUCUACUGGACAUGUCCUUCACAUAGAUAACCUGUGCCACAUCAUUGGCUAGGACGAACGGUUCGUCAGUGUACCCAAGAUUUUUCAAGCGUGCCUUUUCCAGUCAGUCUCCCCUCAUACCGCGAUUUAGGGAGACCUAUCUUCUUAAGGCCAGGAAUGAAGUCAACACAAAACCCGAUGACAUCCUCUGUUUGAUGGCCCAUGGAGAUGCUUCCUUCUGGCCUAGCGCGGUUACGGACAUAUUUCUUUAGGACUCCCAUGAACCUCUCAAAGGGGUACAUAUUGUGUAGAAAUACAGGGCCCAGAAUGACAAUCUCGUCAACUAGAUGAACAAGAACGUGUGUCAUGAUAUUGAAGAAGGAUGGUGGGAACACCAGCUCGAAACUGACAAGACAUUGCACCACAUCACUCCUUAGCCUUGGUAUGGUUUCUGGAUCGAUCACCUUCUGAGAUAUUGCAUUGAGGAAUGCACAUAGCUUCACAAUGGCUAAUCGGACGUUUUCCGGUAGAAGCCCCCUCAAUGCAACCGGAAGCAGUUGCGUCAUAAUCACGUGGCAGUCAUGAGACUUUAGGUUCUGAAACUUUUUCUCUGCCAUAUUUAUUAUUCCUUUUAUAUUCGACGAGAAGCCAGUCGGGACCUUCAUACUAAGCAGGCAUUCAAAGAAGAUUUCCUUCUCUUCUUUGGUAAGAGCAUAGCUGGCAGGACCUUCAUACUGCUUUGGAGGCAUGCCGUCUUUUUCGUGCAAACGUUGCAGGUCCUCUCGUGCCUCAGCUGUAUCUUUUGUCUUCCCAUACACGCCCAAGAAGCCUAGCAGGUUCACGCAAAGGUUCUUCGUCACGUGCAUCACGUCGAUCGAAGAGCGGACCUCUAGGUCUUUCCAGUAGGGUAGGUCCCAAAAUAUAGAUUUCUUCUUCCACAUGGGUGCGUGUCCCUCAGCGUCACUCGGAACAGCUAGUCCGCCGGGACCCUUUCCAAAGAUUACGUGUAAAUCAUUGACCAUAGCAAGUACGUGAUCACCGGUACGCAUGGCGAGCUUCUUCCGGUGAUCUGCCUCGCCUUUGAAAUGCUUGCCUUUCUUUCGACAUUGAUGGUUGGUCGGAAGAAAUCGACGAUGGCCCAGGUACACAUUCUUCCUGCAGCUUGCCAGGUAUAUACUAUCAGUGUCAAGUAAACAGUGCGUGCAUGCGUGGUAUCCCUUGUUUGUCUGUCCUGAAAGGUUACUGAGAGCGGGCCAAUCGUUGAUGGUCACGAACAGCAACGCCUUUAAGUUAAAUUCCUCCUGUUUGUGCUCAUCCCACGUACGUACACCGUUUCCAUUCCACAGCUGUAAAAGUUCUUCAACUAAUGGCCUUAGGUACACAUCAAUGUCAUUGCCGGGUUGCUUAGGACCUUGGAUGAGAACUGGCAUCAUAAUGAACUUCCGCUUCAUGCACAUCCAAGGAGGAAGGUUAUACAUACAUAGAGUCACGGGCCAGGUGCUGUGAUUGCUGCUCUGCUCCCCGAAAGGAUUAACGCCAUCCGCGCUUAAAGCAAACCAUACGUUCCUUGGCUCACUUGCAAACUCAUCCCAGUACUUUCUCUCGAUUUUUCUCCACUGCGACCCGUCAGCCGGUGCUCUCAACUUCCCGUCUUUCUUACGGUCCUCACUGUGCCAUCGCAUCAACUUGGCAUGCUCUCCGUUUCUGAACAGACGUUUCAACCGUGGUAUUAUAGGAGCAUACCACAUCACCUUCACAGGAACCCUCUUCCUGGGGGGCUCGCCGUCAACAUCACCAGGGUCAUCUCGUCUGAUCUUAUACCGUAAUGCACCGCAUACCGGGCAUGCGUUCAGAUCCUUGUACGCACCGGGGUAGAGGAUGCAGUCAUUAGGGCAUGCAUGUAUCUUCUGCACCUCCAAUCCUAGAGGGCAUACGACCUUCUUUGCUGCGUAUGUACUGUCGGGCAAUUCGUUAUCCUUUGGAAGCUUCUUCCUCAAUAUUUUAAGUAGCUUCUCAAAUCCUUUAUCAGGCACAGCAUUCUCUGCCUUCCACUGCAGCAAUUCCAGUACGGUACCUAGCUUUGUGUUGGCAUCUUCGCAAUUGGGGUACAACCCUUUUUUGUGGUCCUCUAGCAUGCGAUCGAACUUCAGCUUCUCUUUUUGACUUUCGCAUUGCGUCCUUGCAUCGACAAUGACCCGGCGGAGAUCAUCAUCAUCGGGCACAUCAUCUGGUUCCUCUUGAUCUUCAGCAGCUUCUCCCGUUGCAGCAUCAUCGUGCACAUCGUCUGGUUCCUCUUGAUCUUCUGGAGCAUCACCGUAUUCAGGGGGCACAUAGUUGUCAUCGUACUCUUCUUCUUCGCCGUCUUCCACCAUAACCCCUAUUUCUCCGUGCCUCGUCCAAACAUUAUAGUGUGGCAUGAAACCCUUGUAAAGCAGGUGGGUGUGCAGGAUUUUCCGGUCAGAGUAAGACUUCGUAUUCCCACAUAUAGGGCAUGGACAACACAUAAAACCAUUCUGCUUGUUUGCCUCAGCCACUUCGAGAAAAUUAUGCACGCCCUUAAUGUACUCGGAGGUGUGUCUUGAACCGUACAUCCAUUGCCGGUUCAUCUGUGUGCAUUAUAUAUAAUUAAGUGUGUCAAAAAUCAUUAGAGAGAUCAUGAAUAGAUAAUUAAUUAAGUGACCAAAUUAAUAGAAGUUCAUCAUCACAUUAAAACCAAAGUACAUACAUAGUUCUCAUCUAACAACAUAAAUCUCUGCAGAGCAUCUAAAUUAAUUAAACCAUACACUGAAACUAUGUAAAACAUUUCAAUGCGAAAACAAAUGCGAUCAUAAUCAUAACCAAUGUAACAACUGAUCCAACGACAUAAUGAUACCAAGCCUCGGUAUGAAUGGCAUAUUUUCUAAUCUUUCCAAUCUUCAAGCGCAUUGCAUCCAUCUUGAUCUUGUGAUCAUCGACGACAUCCGCAACAUGCAACUCCAAUAUCAUCUUCUCCUCCUCAAUUUUUCUAAUUUUUUCCUUCAACAAAUUGUUUUCUUCUUCAACUAAAUUUAACCUCUCGACAAUAGGGUCGGUUGGAAUUUCCGGUUCAACAACCUCCUAGAUGAAUAAAAUCUAUGUCACGUUGGUCGGCAUAAUUGUCAUAAAUAAUAAAUGAACCAAUAGUUAUGAAAAGAUAAUAUAUACCACAUCCGAAUCAUAGACAGGACGAGGGCCGACGGGGGCGGAUACCAAAACCAUCGCACUAUAUAAGAUGCAAUAAUAAAAGUAAGAAAAUUAUACAAGUAUAUAUCUAUCUAAACAUACAAAUAAGAAUAUUUUUCCUUUCGGAAAUAAGAUAAGAACAAGAGGCUCACCACGGUGGUGCCGCCAAUGAGAUCGGUGCGGGUGAUCGACGACGUUGAAGACGGGGAUGGGGCGUGACGGACCGCUAAACCUAGACAAAUAUGGAGGAAAAUGGAGCUUGACGGUCGAGCUUGGAGAGGAGAAACCUUAAGUAGUGUGGCUCGGGCAUUCCAUCGAACACCUUGUGUGCAUAUGAGGUGAGCUAGAGCACCACCAAGCCCUCUCCCCCUCGGCCAGAAAAAACAGAGCAGUGUGCUCUGCUCUUGCGCGAGGGGGUAUAUAUAGGCACCACCAUUGGUCCUGGUUGGUCGCACGAACCGGGACUAAAGGGUUGCCUUUGGUCCCGGUUCAUGCCACCAACCGGGACCAAUGGUGGUGGGCCAGGAGCGAGGACCAUUGGUCCCGGUUCAUCCCACCAACCGGGACCAAAAGGUCCAGACGAACCGGGACCAAUGGCCCACGUGGCCCGGCCGGCCCCCGGGGCUCAUGAACCGGGUCCGAUGCCCCCAUUGGUCCCGGUUCUGGAUUGAACCGGGACUAAUGGGCUGGACCGGCCUGGACCAUUGCCCCCUUUUCUACUAGUGCCUGUACAGGAAAAAAAUCGGACAAAGUAAUUGGUUGAACGCAUACCUUAGGCAAAGGCCCUUUCCAUGGUCGGAUCGCCGUCGCCGCCGUCCUCCGGUGUACAAUCCGGCUAACCACCUCCACUCGAUCGGUAGAAUGCAGACCUAGCCGCGCCGGAUCAUCUCCCGGCACGAUUUCAUCUACCAACGCAGCAACAUCUUCCUCCGAAUAUCCAGGAUUGAACGCCUCGCAGAUCACGUCCGAUGGUGUUGGCGAAUACUCCGGCACCGGAUCGUCUUCGUCCUCCUCAUCUUCCGAGUCCGCUAGCGCCCAGAAUCGACCCCCCACCCGAGCUUCGAUCAUAUCCGGUGACUUCCGUCGGUGGCCGGCGACGGUCGCCCCGGGAUCGCGGCGAGUCGCCCCUUUAAAAUGGAAACAUCUACGUGCACACAUAGGAAACACCUGCACCUUCCUUUAAUUCCUCCUCCUUUCCUAUUCCUCUCCGCUGGCCAUCUCCCCAACGAACGCCUCGUCUCCUUCCCUUCCUCUUUACGCUAGCACCUACGGGAAGAUAAACGUACACGAAGAGAAACUGCCAAGCACUCACGCAAGAAGCUGCCUCCUGUCCUCCUCCAUAAUUCCCAUAAGUGUCCACCGUUUCCAAAACUGAAGGUACAGGGACCUGCACCUCAAUCUCCUCCCUCGUUUCCCUUGGCCCUCUGCCAUCUCUCUUCUCCAUCCUGCCAGAGAACUCCUCUCAAAGAAACAGUGUUCCAUGGACGUCGGUCCUCGAUUCUGAUGAAGGAGACCAUCCCAGUCCAUGCCCUUGCGCCAAAAGGUUCUCCUUCAUGCGUUGAAUCCAUUCAGGGAAGAAAGAACAUGGUCCGUCAAGCACACACGAAGAAUUCUGCAUGUCCGCGUACACUGUUCAUCAAGUUCGUCGCACCAUUCCAUCAAACUCGGUGUGCCUCUAUCAAAUUUCUUUUGCACGCAUACUCAUCAUCAUCUACUCUAUCUCAUAGACAUGAUCAUUCGACUCAUCUAUGUCGUUGCUCGCGCCGAUGCCAUCGGCAUGUCCGCGUACUUUUUAGUUCAUCGGAUAAUCUUGUGUUCAACAUAUGAUUUGUUUCUCGUACCCGUAGUAUCCCCAUGGUGGAGUUAGAUCGCUAGUUUUAUCAAUAGGAUUUUAGUAUACAUUUUGUUAUAGCCAUUCUUGCCCAAGAUUGAAUGGAGUUUGUUCGUCGGCUAAAUUUUAUAUUAAUUUGUUAUUGUUCUUAUGUUUGCGAUAUGCCUAGAAGUGCAUCCUAGUGGUCUCAUAAUUUUUGCGUGUGAUAAAUGGCUUAUUAGAGUUAUUGUUUAUUGUUUACCGAUUAUAGUUUUUGUUGUCGCAAGUUGAUAAUUUUUUGUAUUGUUAUUGACUUGUGUUAGACAUGUCUAUAGAUAUUGAGUAUAGUCUGAUAUGUUUUUAUGUAGAUAAUUUCUUGUAUCAUGUAGUAGUGUGAGACGCUUUUGUAAUAGCUAUUGUGAAUUAUCAUCACGAGUAGUAGUUGAUCGGUGAACUUUUGUGUUAAUUUUAUAUGUUCGGGAUAUAGUUAGGAGUGUAUGCUAGUUAUCUCAUAAUUUUGUGUGUGGCAUGUGACAUGUUAAAUUUAUUGUUUACCGAUUAUAUUUUGUUUAAAAUAAGUUUUGCAUGCUAUUUCCACUUGACAAUUUGGUGUAUUGUGUAUAGUCCUCUUUUAUGCUUGCGUACAACAUUUGGUGAAUGCUCAACAUGCUUAUAUUUAUGUGGAAUUAUUCUAAGUUUUGCUUUAUGUAUCUAAUCGUGAAAUACUUCAUGUUUCAUUUAGUUUAGUUCAUUCACUAGCAUGAAGAUAUCUUAGGUAUAUUUUAUAUAUUGACUUCACCUUUGUUGCAUGUGUAUUUGUCGGCUCUUUUUAUCAUAUCAUGCGAUACUCUAGGUGAUGUUUAUUUAAAUUAUUUGUGUUACCUAGUUUUGCUACUAGUGGUUAUGAAAAGUGGUAUGUUAUCGACCAUAGUCAUAGUACUUGUUGUAGGUCUAUUGUUUGCGUUUAUAUUAUGUGUUAUCAUGCAUGGAGGUCAUUACUUUUGUAGAGUGUGAGGAUUGUGCUUUACAGUUUAGUGCUUCUCAUUUCUUAGAUGUUUGUCAUCCAAGAUUACAUGGUUGGAUACUUCAUGUCAUGGUUAUAUUUGUAUUGCUUUACAUAAUUUAUUUUUGUGGCAUAGAGCAAAGCUUAUAACAUCUUAGUAAUUUUCAUGUGUGUUUAUUUAUCCUUGUUUAUUACCAUGCCAUGUUGGUAAUUGCUUAAAGUAGAAUACAUGGUUUUAUUGUAUGUCCCAAGUGUUGCAACAUUGCUAGUUUGUACUAUAUGGUCACACUUAGGGUUGGCUUUGAAGGAAAUAUGCCCUAGAGGCAAUAAUAAAGUUAUUAUUUAUUUCCUCAUAUCAUGAUAAAUGUUUAUUAUUCAUGCUAGAGUUGUAUUAACCGGAAACAUGAUACAUGUGUGAAUACAUAGACAAACAUAUAGUCACUAGUAUGCCUCUACUUGACUAGCUCAUUAAUCAAAGAUGAUUAUGUUUCCUAACCAUAGACAUGUGUUGUCAUUUGAUUAGUGGGAUCACAUCAUUAGAAGAAUGAUGUGAUUGACAUGACCCAUUCCGUUAGCCUAGCACUUGAUCGUUUAGUAUAUUGCUAUUGCUUUCUUCAUGACUUAUACAAGUUCCUGUAACUAUGAGAAUUAUGCAACUCCCGUUUAUCGGAGGAACACUUUGGAUACUACCAAACGUCACAACCUAACUGGGUGAUUAUAAAGGAGUACUACAGGUGUUUCCGAAGGUACAUGCUGAGUUGGCGUAUUUCGAGAUUAGGUUUUGUCACUUCGAUUGUCGGAGAGGUAUCUCUGGGCCCUCUCGGUAAUGUACAUCACUAUAAGCCUUGCAAGCAAUGUAACCAAUGAGUUGGUUACGGGAUGGUGCAUUACGUAACGAGUAAAGAGACUUGCCGGUAACGAGAUUCAACUAGGUAUUGGAUACCGACGAUCGAAUCUCGGGCAAGUAACAUACCGAUGACAAAGGGAACAACGUAUGUUGUUAUGCGGUUUGACCGAUAAAGAUCUUCGUAGAAUAUGUAGGAACCAAUCUGGGCAUCCAGGUCCCGCUAUUGGUUAUUGACCGAGAAUAGUUCUAGGCCAUGUCUACAUAGUUCUCGAACCCAUAGGGUCCGCAUGCUUAACGUUACGAUGACAAUUUUAUUAUGAGUUUAUAAGUUUUGAUGUACCGAAGCUUGCUCGGAGUCCCGGAUGUGAUCACCGACGUGACGAGGAGUCUCGAAAUGGUCGAGACAUAAAGAUUGAUAUAUUGGACGACUAUAUUCGGACACCGGAAUUGUUCCGGGUGAUUUUGGAGAAAACCGGAGUGCCGGGGGGUUAGCGGAACCCCCCGCGAGAGUAUUGGGCCUUAUGGGCCUUAGGAGAGAGGGGCGACUAGCAUGGGCCGCGCACCCCCUCCCUUCUCUGGUCCGAAUUGGACUAGGAGGGGGGGCGGCGCCCCCCUUUCCUUCCCCUCUCUCCCUUCCUUCCCCCUCCUAGUAGGAGUAGGAAAGGAGGAGUCCUACUCCUACUAGGAGGAGGAUUCCUCCUCCUUGGCGCACCCCAAGGGGCCGGCCGGCCUUCCCCCUUGCUCCUUUAUAUACGGGGGCGGGGGGCACCCCAUAGACACACAAGUUGAUCUACGGAUCAUUCCUUAGCCAUGUGCGGUGCCCCCCUCCACCAUAUUCCAGCUCGGUCAUAUCGUCGUGGAGUUCAGGCGAAGCCCUGCGCCGGUAGAACAUCAUCAUCGUCACCACGCCGUCGUGCUGACGGAACUCAUCUCCGGAGCUUUGCUGGAUCGGAGCCCGGAGAUCGUCAUCGAGCAGAACGUGUGCUGAACUCGGAGGUGUCGUACGUUCGGUGCUUGGAUCGGUCGGAUCGUGAAGACGUACGACUACAUCAACUGCGUUGUGCUAACGCUUCCGCUUACGGUCUACGACGGUACGUGGACAACACUCUCCCCUCUCGUUGCUAUGCCAUCACCAUGAUCUUGCGUCUGCGUAGGAAAUUUUUUGAAAUUACUACAUUCCCCAACAGGCUUUGCUUAGUUGAGAUACAUGAUAGUAGUGUAUGAUUCCAUCUUGCUUGAUCAAUUUGAUACCAUGAUGUUGUGACUAGGUAGGUAGAUGCAUAUUGUGUGUGUCAAAUCAUGUUAUAGAUCAUCCCUAGAUAUGUAGCUUAUGUCAUUACAAGUGUAAAUUGUACUUGAUAGUAAGGCAUGUUGUCUUUGUUAUUCAUGCUAUGAUAUUCAUUGCAUGAUAGUCAUGUUAGUUGAUAUCAACUAAGUUAUCUCAUAGUUAUACUUUGGCAACUCGCGCGAUCAUCAUCCAUGCUUAGCAUUAUAUCUAGUUGUUGCAUUGUUGUAUGUCUAGCCAUAGUCAUGCAAGUGAUCUUUCAUAUCUUAUGAUGUUUCGUGUGUUAUUGUUUCUUAGUGUCGUUCUUCUUAUAGAUGUUUAAAUUUGUUACAUCUUAGUCUUAUGAGUGUUUUAAUAUUUGUUGCUCAGACUCAUACAAUUAGGACGAGUCAUAUGUGAUGGGAGUAGAGUUGUGCUUUGUUCACACACUCAAUGCCUGUAUCAUGCUUUGUUAUUGUAAGCAUGUGGUGAUAAUAUUAUUGCUUUAUUGGUAUUAGUUGUUCCUUAUUAAGACCAUGUCAUAGUUUAGAAUCUUCUCAUGAGCACUUGUAUGUUGAAUGCUUGUGUUAGUUCAUUCAUCUUUAUGAUCGUAUACUCACAUGGCAUGGGUGAGAUGUGUAUUAUUAUUAAGUUGUUUAAUUAGUUGGUACCAUAGUAGCGGUUUGUCUGUUGUUAUAGAAAUGCUUACUAAUAGUUAUGAUUGAGGUUUAGUAUUUGCUUGUUAUUAACCAUUAUAAAUAUUUGAAUUCAGUCAAAUAUUUAUUUUUGGUUGAUUAAUAAUCUUAAUGAUAUCAUGUCUAGGAUAGUUGUUCAUCCAUUGUUCCACGUGUUGUAUAGUUUCUUGUCAAUUGUUUGACUAACGAAUUGUAUUGAUUUGAUGGAGUGGAACCUAUUUUAUUUUCAUAAUGGUUGAGCUAGACCUAGAUCAAUUCAAUUAAUGUUGUUGAAUGAUGUUUGAUUGCUUCAAUAGUAUGUUUUAUAAUGUUGGUUUGGUUGUCGUAUAGAACACUUGUUUUGAGUUAUUAUAGAGUUAAUAUAUAUGUUUGGAUUCGAUUGACCAUUAUGAAUAUUUAGAUUCUUGCUAAAUAUUUGUUUGUGGUUAUCUUUUGCAUUUAUCAUGCCAUGUUUUGUUUGUGUAUAUAAAAUACAUAGGAUGAUUCCAUUAAUUCUAUGCUUGUUGGUGCCAUUGUGUUUGUCAUAUGGUAGUUUCCUAUAUUGUUACUCACGAUGUGUAGUGGGCACUACUAAUUGUCUGAUAGCAUAGUUCUUACUAGAACAUUAGUCUUGAUCACCAAGCCUUCCGUAGCUGUGUCAACCUAAACCUUGUCGUUUAAUCAUCUCUCUUACCUCCCAAUCAUGCUACCUCGUUUUGAAUUUCUAUCUAAUCAAUAUCUUGCUAUCAAUCCACUCUUAUUGUUGUUUUGGAUGUUAUUGGGAUUUUCUAUUUGCUUUGGUAUUUAUUGUUUGUCUUUUGCUAUCGUUAUGACGAGUAGGGAGUGACGAGGUUGGCAUGGACAGAAACAGGUUACUGAAGAAGGACUCGACAACGAAGGCAUGUCUCCUUCUUGAUCAUACUUAUCCGAUGGUUUACCCAAUUGCAUUGAGUUUUCAUUGUUAUUAUAUGCAUGCUAUUUUAAUCUUGUAGCUAGCGUGUCGAUUGACACAUUACCUCGAUCCGCUUGUCGCCUAUUCACUUGACACCUAAGUAGAAGUAUAAGGUUCCGGUAGAGUAGAAAUGCUUAGCCAUGCUUAUCACCCUAUAGGUCCCUUGUUGAAUGACCCCUGAGUCAUUGACAGUUGAAACUUAACGCUGUGCUACGCCCUGUUGGCCCUUGUUGACCUUCUCUAUUCUCUUCUACUCUGGGUGAAACUUACCAUCUGAAUACUAGCGCGGGCGACAGCUGAAUCAAGGAUUGAAGGAGCGAUUGGCUGCCCUUCAUAAAUGAAGGGGGCAAUCAGUCGUUUGUGCCGCAUGAGGCCUAAUAAGUCUUGGAUUUGAAGUUUGUGAUAACAGUACAACCACAUGCUAUACGGGCACUGGCUUGGUUAAUUAGUUAGUUCAUUCUUAUUGUCGUCAUCGCCGUACCGCAGAUGGGACAGCUGCCUUGCAAGGAGUAUCCUCGGCACAAAAGGGGGGCCCGGACUGUGAACUGCGGUUACUCCUGUGUUGAAACCUAGUGGGCUUGGCGCAAUAAGUUUGGUCUUAUGAAAGACCUCGUCACAAUCUCCCUGCCGGUACACCAAAUGGAGUACUAUACCGGCGGCCACUGGUGGCAACAAGUCGGGAUUGUGUCGUGUGGGUAAAGUGUACAACCUCUGCAGAGUGUAAAACUAUUCGAAUAGCCGUGUCCACGGUCAUGGACAACACAUGAAUCUUUCUUGACGUACGGGACCUGUCUUGCUUAUUCCCUCUUUGCCCCUAUUCUUGAAACCUAUGAAGGACGUGAGUUGAUCGAGGAUCCUCACUUGAUGAAAGUUAUUCUGGAGAUAAAACAUGUUUUCCUCUAAAACUGCUUUUAUCCAACUACUUUAUUUGUCAAACAAAAUUAGCUUUAUGCAAAUGAGCCAUACCGCCUUCCUUUGAAGCCACAUUUAGACAUUAGGUCCUUCCCAGUGGGAGGCAUGUUGAGUACGUACUGUACUCAUGGCAAUAAUUUUGUUGACAACAGAGUUCCAUGAAGACGAAGGUGAUGACUAUGACAACUAUGGCGAUCCGUAGGAGUGAGGUCACAUGGACUACAUCGACUGCCUGUGGCUGAGAUGGAGUCGCUACGCAUUGUACUUUCUACUGCUUUCUAAUUGUAAUAAAUGUAAUGAGACAUUUCUCUAUGUAUGCCUUGUGGCAAGAUAUAUUUAAACUUGUAAUACCUUUUAUGCAUUGUGCGAUGAUAUCAUUUCGCUGUGUUGUCAACAAUGAUCCUGGGGUUGGCAAAUAAACACAGGAGGGUCUGGAAGUUAAUUCCGGUUUCUCACAUAUACCCCUCGCCCGCGAGCAGAGUACUCCACUGCUCUGUUUUUCUCUGGCCGGGGAGGGGAGGGCUUUGUGGUGCUCUAGCUCACCUCCGAUGCACAUGAGGUGUUCGAUGAAAUGCCCGAGCCACACUAGUUAAGCUUUCUCCUCUCGAAGCACGACCUCCGAACUCUAUUUUUCCUGAGAUUUGUCUAGGUUUAUAUUAGCGGCCCGUCACGCCCCGUCCCCGUCUUCACUGUCGUCGAUCGCCCGUGCCGAUCUCGUCACCGGCACCACCGUGGUGAGCCUCUUGUUCUUAUAUUCUUUCUGAAAGAGAAAAAUUCUUGCUUUAGAUAGAUACUUGUCUAAUUUUCUUACUAUUUUAUUGCUUGUUAUUAUAUAGUGCGAUGGUUUUGGUAUCCGCCCCCGUCGGCCCUCGUCCUGUCUAUGAUUCGGAUGUGGUAUAUAUUAUCUUUAUAACUAUUGUUUCAUUUAUUGUUUAUGAAAAUUAUGCCGACCAACAUGACAUAGAUUUUAUUUAUCUAGGAGGUAUGUGAACCGGAAAUUCCAACCGACCCUAUUGUCGACAGGUUAAAUUUAGUUGAAGAAGAAAACAAUUUCUUGAAGGAAAAAAUAAAAAAAAUCGAGGAGGAGAAGAUGAUAUUGGAGUUGCAUGUUGCGCAUGUCGUCGAUGAUCACAAGAUCAAGAUGGAUGCAAUGCGCUUGAAGAUUAGAAAGAUUAGAAAAUAUGCCAUUCAUACCGAGGCUUGGUAUCAUUAUGCCGUUGGAUCAAUUGUUACCUUGGUUGCGAUUAUGAUCGCAUUUGUUUUCGCAUUGAAAUGUUUUACAUACUUUCAAUUUAUGGUUUAAUUAAUUUAGAUGCUCUGAAGAGCUUUAUGUUGUUAGAUGAGAACUAUGUAUGUACUUUGGUUUUAAUGUGAUGAUGAACUUUAUUAAUUUGGUCACUUAAUUAUCUAUUCAUGAUGUUCUGUAAUGGUUUUUGACACACUUAAUUAUAUAUAAUGCACGCAGAUAAACUGGCAAUGGAUGUACGGUGACAGACACACCUCCGAGUACAUUAAGGGCGUGCAUGAUUUUCUCGAAGUGGCUGAGGCAAACAAGGAGAAUGGUUUUAUGUGUUGUCCAUGCCCUAAAUGUGGGAAUACAAACUCUUACUCUGACUGGAAAAUCCUUCACACCCACCUGCUUUACAACGGUUUCAUGCCACACUAUAAUGUUUGGACGAGGCACGGAGAAAUAGGGGUUAUGAUGGAAGACGGCGAAGAAGAAGUGGAUGAUGACAACUAUGUGCCCCUGAAUACGGUGAUGCUGCAAUGGGGGAAACUGCUAAAGAUCAAGAGGAACCAGAUGAUGUGCCCAAUGAUGCUGCAACGGGGGAAGCUACUGAAGAUCAAGAGGAACCAGACGAUGUGCCCGAUGAUGAAGAUCUCCGCCGGGUCGUUGUCGAUGCAAGGACAAAAUGCGAAAGUCAAAAGGAGAAGCUGAAGUUCGAUCACAUGUUAGAGGAUCACAAAAAGGGUUGUACCCCAAUUGCGAAGAUGGCAACACAAAGCUCGGUACCGUACUGGAAUUGCUGAAGUGGAAGGCAAAGAAUGAUGUGCCUAACAAAGGAUUUAAGAAGCUACUGAAAAUAUUGAAGAAGAAGCUUCCAAAGGAUAACGAAUUGCCCGACAGUACAUACGCAACAAAGAAGGUCGUAUGCCCUCUAGGAUUGGAGGUGCAGAACAUCCAGGCAUGCCCUAAUGACUGCAUCCUCUACCGCGGUGCGUACAAGGAUCUGAACGCAUGCCCGGUAUGCGGUGCAUUACAGUAUAAGGUAAGACGAGAUGAUCCUGGUGAUGUUGACGGCGAGCCUCCCAGGAAGAGGGUUCCUGCGAAGGUGAUGCGGUAUGCUCCUAUAAUACCACGGUUGAAACGUCUGUUCAGAAACGGAGAGCAUGCCAAGUUGAUGCGAUGGCACAAUGAGGACCGUAAGAAAGACGGGAAGUUGAGAGCACCCGCUGAUGGGUCGCAGUAGAGAAAAAUUGAGAGAAAGUAUUGGGAUGAGUUUGCAAGUGACCCAAGGAACGUAUGAUUUAUUUUAAGCGCGGAUGGCAUUAAUCCUCUCGGGGAGUAGAGCAGCAAUCACAGCACCUGGCCCGUGACUCUAUGUAUGUAUAACCUUCCUCCUUGGAUGUGCAAGCAGAAGUUCAUUAUGAUGCCAGUUCUCAUCCAAGGCCCUAAGCAACCCGACAAUGACAUUGAUGUGUACCUAAGGCCAUUAGUUGAAGAACUUUUACAGAUGUGGAAUGGAAACGGUGUACGUACGUGGGAUGAGCACAAACAGGAGGAAUUUGACCUAAAGGUGUUGCUAUUUGUGACCAUCAAUGAUUGGCCCGCUCUCAGUAACCUUUCAGGACAGACAAACAAGGGAUACCACGCAUGCACGCACUGUUUAGACGACACUGAAAGUAUAUACCAGGACAAAUGCUGGAAGAAUGUGUACCUGGGCCAUCGUCAAUUUCUUCCGACCAACCAUCAAUGUCGAAAGAAAGGCAAGCAUUUCAAAGGCGAGGCAGAUCACCGGAAGAAGCCCACCAUGCGUACCGGUGAUGUACUUACUAUGGUCAACAAUUUACACGUAACCUUUGGAAAGGGUCCAGACGUACUAGCUGUUCCGAAUGACACUGAGGGACACGCACCCAUGUGGAAGAACAAAUCUAUAUUUUGGGACCUACCCUACUGGAAAGACCUAGAGGUCCGCUCUUCAAUCGACGUGAUGCACGCGACGACGAACCUUUGCGUGAACCUACUAGGCUUCUUGGGCGUGUAUGGGAAGACAAAAGAUACACCUGAGGACGGGAGGAUCUGCAACGCUUGCAUGAAAAAGACGGCAUGCCUCUGAAGCAGUAUGAAGGUCCUACCAGCUACGCUCUUACGAAAGAAGAGAAAGAAAUCUUCUUUGAAUGCCUGCUCAGUAUGAAGGUCCCGACUGGCUUCUCGUCGAAUAUAAAGGGAAUAAUAAAUAUGCCAGAGAAAAAGUUCCAGAACCUAAAGUCUCAUGACUGCCAUGUGAUUAUGACACAACUGCUUCCGGUUGCAUUGAGGGGGCUUCUACCGGAAAACGUCCAAUUAGCCAUUGUGAAGCUAUGUGCGUUCCUCAAUUCAAUAUCUCAGAAGGUGAUCGAUCCAGAAAUUGUACCAAGGCUAAGGAGUGAUGUGGCAAAUGUCUUGUUAGUUUCGAGUUGGUGUUCCCACCAUCCUUCUUCAAUAUCAUGACGCACGUCCUAGUUCAUCUAGUCGAUGAGAUUGUUUUUCUGGGGCCCGUAUUUCUACACAAUAUGUUCCCCUUUGAGAGGUUCAUGGGAGUCCUAAAGGAAUAUGUCCGUAACCGCGCUAGGCCAGAAGGAAGCAUCUCCAUGGGCCAUCAAACAGGGGAUGUCAUUGGGUUUUUUGUUGACUUCAUUCCUGGCCUGAAGAAGAUAGGUCUCCCUAAAUCGCGGUAUGAGGGGAGAUUGACUGGAAAAGGCACGCUUGGAGGGGACUCAAUAAUAUGCAGGGACAGAUAUUCUUGGUCUCAAGCACACUACACAGUUCUAUAGAACUGUACCUUGGUGACCCCGUAUGUCGAUGAACACAAGAACAGUCUGCACUCCAAACACCCGGAGCAGUGCGACGACUGGAUUACAUGUGAACACAUCAGGACUUUUAGCAGUUGGUUGGAAACACGUCUCAGAGGUGACAAGACUAUUUGUGAUGAGCUGUACUUGUUGUCCACAGGACCAUCUUUGACUGUAUUGCUUUACAAAGGAUACGAGAUAAAUGGGAAUACAAUUUACAUGAUUGAACAAGAUGUGUCCGCUUUGAUGCAGCAACCGAGAGGGGAAAGGACACCUAUUAUGGUUACAUAGUGGACAUAUGGGAACUUGACUACGGACAUGAUUUUAAGGUCCCUUUGUUUAAGUGCAAAUGGGUCAAUCUGUCAGGAGGCGGGGUACAAGUAGACCCACAGUACGGAAUGACAACAGUGGGUCUGAAAAAUCUUGGGUACACUGAAGAACUGUUUGUCCUAGCCAAUGAUGUGGCACAGGUUAUCUACGUGAAGGACAUGUCUACCAAACCGAGAAAAAGAAAAGAUAAGGAAGCGAAUAGAUCAUACGAUGAGCCAAAGCGCCACAUAGUUCUUUCAGGAAAAAGGGACAUCAUGGGAGUGGAGGUCAAGACAGACAUGUCUGAAGAUUAUGAAAAGUUUCAUGAAAUUCCUGCCUUCAAAGUCAAGGCUGACCCAAGCAUCCUGAUAAACGAUGAAGAUUAUCCAUGGUUACAGCACAAUAAGCAAAUGACACAAGCGAAGAAAAAGUGAAAACUUUCUCCCCCAACUAUUAUGAUGAUACCAUGCCAACUUUAUAACAGACGAAUAUGAUACCAUUGUCCGUUUUGUACAUGCACAUGCUAUGUGGGUGAAAUUAUGAUACCAUGCCAACAUUCAACUUUUUCAUAGUUUAUUUGAAAUGCUUUAAUGUCUUAUGGUUUGGCCCUCGUAAUACCAUUAAUCCCGGUUCGCUCCUUGUCAACUAUGUUCUCACCAAGAACACUCAAGAGGGCAGCCAUGUGGGCCAUUGAUCCCGGCUCCUUGUCCAGGUUCCACGCACGAACCGGGACCAAUGCGCCUCGCCCAUGGCCCAUGACCAUUAGUCCUGGUUUGUGCCACAAACCGGGACUAAAGGGUUGGUCCUCGUUGCGGUCAGAGUUUAGUCCCACCUUGCGAACCGAAGGGCGCUCACACCGGUUUAUAAGUCCCUCCCUCUCUGCCUUGUUGAGCUCCUCUCAAAGUGAAAAUAGAUGCCCUUAUACAGGGAAUUUGACGUAAAUUCAUACUGAAUUUAUCUGAAAUUCAUAGAAACUUAUUAUGAAUUUAGGUUGAAUUUUUAGUAAAGUUAAUCACAAACUUGUGAUUCACACAAAUUUCACAGAAUUCAAAUUUUAACUAUUAAAAUUUGAAAACUAAUUGCACUAACAGAAAGUUUAUAAUUUUUGUGACUUAAAAGAAAAAUAAUUAAAAAUAAACUUUAAUAAAAUAAAUAAAAAAACAAUAAGUAUUUUGUUGUAAGUAGAAACAAAAUAAAAUAAAUAAAGCAACAAAGAAAACAAAAAAAACAAAAAAAAUUCAAACUAAUGGCACUAACAGAAAGUUUAUAAUUUUGCUGUCCUAAAAGCAAAAAGAAUUAAAAUAUAAANNNNNNNNNNNNNNNNNNNNNNNNNNNNNNNNNNNNNNNNNNNNNNNNNNNNNNNNNNNNNNNNNNNNNNNNNNNNNNNNNNNNNNNNNNNNNNNNNNNNNNNNNNNNNNNNNNNNNNNNNNNNNNNNNNNNNNNNNNNNNNNNNNNNNNNNNNNNNNNNNNNNNNNNNNNNNNNNNNNNNNNNNNNNNNNNNNNNNNNNNNNNNNNNNNNNNNNNNNNNNNNNNNNNNNNNNNNNNNNNNNNNNNNNNNNNNNNNNNNNNNNNNNNNNNNNNNNNNNNNNNNNNNNNNNNNNNNNNNNNNNNNNNNNNNNNNNNNNNNNNNNNNNNNNNNNNNNNNNNNNNNNNNNNNNNNNNNNNNNNNNNNNNNNNNNNNNNNNNNNNNNNNNNNNNNNNNNNNNNNNNNNNNNNNNNNNNNNNNNNNNNNNNNNNNNNNNNNNNNNNNNNNNNNNNNNNNNNNNNNNNNNNNNNNNNNNNNNNNNNNNNNNNNNNNNNNNNNNNNNNNNNNNNNNNNNNNNNNNNNNNNNNNNNNNNNNNNNNNNNNNNNNNNNNNNNNNNNNNNNNNNNNNNNNNNNNNNNNNNNNNNNNNNNNNNNNNNNNNNNNNNNNNNNNNNNNNNNNNNNNNNNNNNNNNNNNNNNNNNNNNNNNNNNNNNNNNNNNNNNNNNNNNNNNNNNNNNNNNNNNNNNNNNNNNNNNNNNNNNNNNNNNNNNNNNNNNNNNNNNNNNNNNNNNNNNNNNNNNNNNNNNNNNNNNNNNNNNNNNNNNNNNNNNNNNNNNNNNNNNNNNNNNNNNNNNNNNNNNNNNNNNNNNNNNNNNNNNNNNNNNNNNNNNNNNNNNNNNNNNNNNNNNNNNNNNNNNNNNNNNNNNNNNNNNNNNNNNNNNNNNNNNNNNNNNNNNNNNNNNNNNNNNNNNNNNNNNNNNNNNNNNNNNNNNNNNNNNNNNNNNNNNNNNNNNNNNNNNNNNNNNNNNNNNNNNNNNNNNNNNNNNNNNNNNNNNNNNNNNNNNNNNNNNNNNNNNNNNNNNNNNNNNNNNNNNNNNNNNNNNNNNNNNNNNNNNNNNNNNNNNNNNNNNNNNNNNNNNNNNNNNNNNNNNNNNNNNNNNNNNNNNNNNNNNNNNNNNNNNNUUGUAUGUACGUAUGUAUGUAUGUAUGUAUGUAUGAGGGAUCAUAUAUGUAUUUUUUGUAUGUAUGUAUGUAUGAGGGAUCAUAGAUGUAUUUUUUCAGAAUUUUCUAUCGUGCAUAGACUGAGAAGGAGAAAGGAAAAUAAGAAGAGGAAGAAAGGAGAAGAAGAGGAGAAAUAAAUAAGAAGAGGAAAAAAGAAGAAAAAGAAGAGGAAUUUUUCUUCUUCUCUUCUAUUCCUUUCUUCUUCUCCUCUUUUUUCUUCUUCUUUUUUCUUCGAUCUUCUCCUCUAUUCCUUUCUUCUUCUCCUCUUUUUAUUUCUUCUUCGUUUUCUUAUGUUUUAUUGGGUCCCUUGCCCAUAACUUCAACACGAGGGGGGGUCGAUAUACCCCCUCCCGGUAAUAUUAUUUUCCCAUGUAUGUAUGUCAUCGUUGUUGAUAUAACCCCCUCCCGAUAACUUUAACACGUGGGGGGGGGUCGAUAUACCCCCUCCCCGAUAACAUUAUUUUCCCGUGUAUGUAUGUCGUGGUUAUCAAUAUUACCCCCUCUCGACUGUGAUAACUUAUACCAAAACUCUCGAGGACACCCAAACCAUAGAAAAAACGAUGUCGGUCUCCUACCCCCUCCCGCCGCGCCCCUACCCGACAAACUCCCUCGAGGCCACCCCCUCUUGCCCGACCAAAACUCUCGAGGACACCCAAACCCUAGAAAAAGCGAUGUCGGUCUCCUACCCCUCCCGCCGCGCCCCUACUCUUGAAGCGUUGCCGAGGCCACCCCAAACCCAGAAUAAGCUCGGUCUACGUUUGCCACUAAUAUAUCCACCUGCUGUCAUGUUUGUGUAAUAAUUGCCAUGUUGUAAUAUUUGCAGAAACAAUGCAGCACAUACGAGAUGAGGAAGCAGAAGAGGUGUUGGGGGACAUAAUCUUAGCCGGAGGUGAUAUCUUGUCGUAUCUUAAUGACAAUGAUGGUCUGGAAGAACAGGGUGAAGAAGAAGGCUACGGUGAUUGAAGAAUGGAGGAGAAAGACAUGAUUAUGAUGGCUCCGGUGACCCAAUGACGGUGCAAGAAGGAGAUCGUGAUGACGGCUCCAGUGACCGAACCGAGUCCGGCCAGGUAUAUAUAUAUUAGUUAAGCCUGUGCUGACUAGCUAAUUGAUGCAUUCAUUGUUUUGGUAUAUGUACACAUAUUAAUUAACUCUCGUCUUUCUUCUUUUUUCUAGCGCUCCAGAUCGAGCACAACUUUGGUAAAGAGACGAGGCCCGAAGAAAAAGUUGCGCUCGGAUGAAAGGUUUGAGAUCACAGCAAUCGCGCCUGACGGCCAGCCGAUUGAACCCAUCUGGACAAAGGAAGCAUUUGCUGCUCAGUGUGGGGUUCUUGUUAGAGACAAGAUCCCGAUCAGCAUCCACCAAUGGUAUAAGCCUAAGAAGGAAGACCCUAAGGUGGCUUAUGUCAAUGAUAUGUAGAAAGAUGAUCUUUGGACUGAGCUGAAGGCAAAUUUCACCCUACCGCCAGAGGAGGAUCCGGAGAAGCCAGUUAAAGAGCAAUUAAUCAAGUCUCAUGCUCUUAAGAAGAUGGCAGACCUAUUUAGGAGGUGGAAGAAUGAGCUGAAAAGGUUUGUCGACAAAGAAGAGACACCAGAAUUCAUCGGCAAAUAUGAGAAGAUUAGUGAUCACUGGCCUGCAUUUGUGGCCCACAAGACAUCGAAAAAGAGUAAGAAGAUGUCGGCGACAAACAAGCAAAAUGCUGCGAAGAAGAAUCUUCACCAUCGCACGGGGUCAGGUGGCUACCUCAAAGCCCGGCCUAAGUGGGCCAAGGCUGAGAAUGAUCUAUUAAUAAAGGGAUCGAACCAGAGACAAUGAACUGGCCAGACCGUUGCGGGACUUGGUUCUUCGGGGCUGGCGGAACCUUGGACCCUAUAUCAGGGAAGUGCCUUUGGACAGACGAGCAAAUGAGAAUACCAGUCAAGAGGCUUCAGUACUAUAUCGAUGCAGUGCAUGAAGGGACGUUCGUUCCAGACAGAGAGAACGACGAGCUCACAAUGGCCCUCGGGAAUCCUGAGCACCCUGGACGGACAAGAGGCACGCCAGGCUCUGUUCUGUGGAAGGCUAGGUUUUCAGACGCAGGCGGUUACAAAUGCCAGGAGUGGAGGAAGAAAGAGCAGCAGACCGAACUGCAGGCGCUGCACGCAAGGGAACAAGCAAUAGAGGAACGAGAAGCAAAUCGCAGCAAACGAACUGCUGAAGCUUCCCCCAAAGCUACCCCGCCAUCUCAGCGGAGAAGCAGUGUGGCUUCCACCGAGCUGCUUCAGCCGGAGCAUGUCUUGAUGGCUGCUGCUAGCUACCCCGUGGAUGCUAUCAUGGAGUCUCAAAAUUGCCACCUUAUGACGCAAUGGCAGAACUUAAAAGUCAAGGUGGCUGUCGGCUCUGUUCCAACUUCUGAACCCGGUGCAACUUUUUACUGUCGUCCGAUUCCAGAAGGAUAUGCUAGGGUGACGGUGGACGAAAUAACGGAGGGAUUUGAGGACCUCCAGCUUGACCACCCUACCGGUGAAGGGGAGACUCGGCUGGGUUCUGCUCUGAAGACUCCAUGCCUAUGGCGGAAGGAGUUCAUCAACCUUCCGAACUGGACGCCUCUGCCUCCUCCUGCUCCUCCGGCGAGUCAGGGCACUCCGCAUCCUCCACCGUCUCCUCGUCCGGUGAGUGACGAUCAGGGCACUCAGCCUCCUUCACCGGCGUGUGGCGGCACUCCGCCUCCUUCUCCGCCUGCGCCGGCGUGCCCCAGCAGCCAGCAACAUCCACCUUCUCCGCCUCGGCAGCAAGGGCGGAAGAGACCCGCCUCCGCCCCGGCUGCUCCGGCACGUCAUAGACCUUCUCCUCCGCCUCGUAAGCAAGCACGAAAGAAGACAGCCGCAGUCGCUCCGUCUGCUCCGGCGUCUAGCAGUACAGCCAGAGGCGGGUGGCAAUGCAGAUAUGGUCCACCUCUCAAGCCUCUAGAGAAGUUACCGUACGAGAGGACCGAGGAGGAAAAUGCGAAGAUCGUUGCAGACCGAAGUGAAGGACUUCUUUGAAGGGUUGAAAGCAAAGAGACAUCCACCUCCGGAGGAGAAGGUAGAUCCGGUGAAAGCAAAUCGCACUAUCGAUGCCCUGAGGAAACCACCAAUGUCUCCGCCGAAAACCAAAUAUGAGCGCAUUACUAAAAAGGCAUAUCUUGAAGCGGAGCGGUCGGGAAGUACUGUCAGUGAUCAAAGGUUAAAAGAACGAGCAGCUGGGAAAAAAAUUGCCCAGCUCGGCAAACAAGCAAAGCAAUAGUGGCCCCCGCUCAAUGUGUCUAGCGACAUCGUCGCUAAUGCUCCGGGGACGGUGCCCAGUUAUAGCAAUCUUAGAGGUUACCUGCCUGACGAUGUACAUUUUGAUUUCUUGGAGGUGGACGAACACAGAUACGAGUACGGGAAGCCUCUCGUCAAAGAUGAAAAAUCUCUAACAACGAUGAUGCGAAGAUUCCAUAAUUGGUACAUGAAAACCUGCAGAGAGUCUGGGGGACAAAUACUUUGUAUCUGAGAAUUAAAGAGGAGCACGACCUCGUUGGAACUUUUCUGUUGCCUGUUCCAUUUGAGGAGUUCUUCGAGUUCUUCAAUCAAAAUGCCUUCGAUAAAUUAACGGUCUUUUGCUACUGUCUGUAAGUACUAUUUCUGUCAUUAAAUCUUUAUAUAUAGCUCAGCUCUUUCAAUGCAUGUAUCUAUAAUUAAUUAUCCUAACUAUAUUAUGCAGAUUGAAGAUCGUCGAGUGAAGAAAGAAGAAAUGUAUGAUAUUGGGUUCAUUAACAGAAAUAUCAUAGAUGAUUUUCUGGUUACAAAAGACGCCGAAGAGGCCGAGGCCUACUUGCUACAAUCGUUGAUCAAAAAUCAAAACAAAGAUUUAAUACUCCUUCCUUACAACUUCGAGUGAGUGUUACUGUCGUGUGCAUAUUCGGUUUCCCUUAUUACUUGAGCGAGGUUAUAGUAAUGUAAUUGAUGAGUUAUGCAUGCGUGCGUAGCUUCCACUAUGUUCUUCUGGAGAAUAAGCUUGAGCGGGGGCUAGUAACCGUCUUAGACUCGAGACGAAAAGAUCCCGAAACCUAUGUAGACAUGACUAAAAUGCCAAACAAGUAAGUUCAAUCGAUCAUUAAGCACCAUAUCGGCAACUUUUUGUUCAUUUCCUGAUAUCUCAAGUAAUAAUAAUUAUUUUCUUUGUCUUGCAGGGUUUGGAAACAGUUCACCACAGAAGCUCCGGGACUGCCGAAGGAGCUGCGAUAUACAUACCCGAAAGUAAGUACUACUAGCUAGCUAGUUGCGCGCAUCUCCCGUUGAUUCUAUAGCUAUACUUUCAUCAAUGCCAUUUAUAAUGCUUCAUUAUCAGUUUGAUUGACCUCUAUUUCUCGUAAAGUGCUUGUGACAGGAACAAGGGAAUGAUUACUGCGGAUACUACAUGUGCGAGUUCAUCUACAACGCGACUUCGAAAAAUAAGCGGGACUACUCUAAAAGACAAUAUGAAGUGCGUAAGCAAUAAUAUUCACAAUUUCAUUUUAUUAGACAAUCAUUUCUGUUGAGUUUCAUUAAUAUAUAUGUAUUAACCCCCCUUUUCAAAUUAGAUGUGGCAGAUGCAGAAUGAACUCCUACCACAAGAUCGCAUGAAAGCAAUUCAAGAGGAAUUGGCGGGAUUCUUUCUUGACCAUGUCAUUAUUAAAGCCGGAGAAUACCAUGUGGAAGUUGAUUUCAAAUGCUAGGGGAUUGUAAGAGAUCUUACAUAUUGUAUAUGUAUGUAGCCAGUAGCGUUGGAUAGAUAAUACGAAAACUUGUUGUUCGACCAAUCUCUCGGAGAAGGAGAGGUCGAUCGAUCACUUCUCUCGGUAUGCACGGCGAACUUCUGUACUUAAUGGUUUCCUUCAUUUUAUUACUAGCUAGCAUUUCGAGGGCCUUUCUAUGUAUAGUACGUAGCGUCGACCAAGCACGGACAUAAGAGAGGACACUUCUCUCUAUUAAUUAGCUAGCUAACACAAUAUAUGAAACACCUAAAUUAACCCCCCAAAACCCCCAACCCCCCCUUUAAAAUAAACAAAAACCUCAGCCUCUGAAAUGCUGACGCGUGGAUGCCUUUUGGUCCCGUUGGUCCCGGGACCAAAGGCCCUCCUGCCUGGGCUCGGCGCACCGGCCACGUGGAGGCCCAUCUAUCCCGGUUCGUGUUAGAACCGGGACUAAAGGUCUAGGGCAUUAGUAACGACCCUUUAGUCCCGGUUCAAGAAUCGGGACAAAAGGCCCUAACCAACAGGGACGAAUGGGUUUUUUUCUACUAGUGUGAGGAAAGGAUGAUGGAGACUAUGAUUCCCCCACAAGUCGGGAUAAGACUCCGGACAAAAAUAAAAAAUAAUAAAAAAAGAGGCCAUAAAAAAGGAAAAAGGGGAGAAAGGCCCAAAUAAAAAAAUAAAAAUAAUAAAAAAUGAGGGAAAAAGAGAGAAGGGACAAUGUUACUAUCCUUUUACCACACUUGUGCUUCAAAGUAGCACCAUGAUCUUCAUGAUAGAGAGUCUCCUAUGUUGUCACUUUCAUAUACUAGUGGAAAUUUUACAUUAUAAAACUUGGCUUGUAUAUUCCAAUGAUGGGCUUCCUCAAAAUUCCCUAGGUCUUCGUGAGCAAGCGAGUUGGAUGCACACCCACUUAGUUUCUUUUGUUGAGCUUUCAUACACUUAAUAGCUCUAGUGCAUCCGUUGCAUGGCAAUUCCUACUCACUCGCAUUGAUAUCUAUUAAUGGGCAUCUCCAUAGCCCGUUGAUACGCCUAGUUGAUGUGGGACUAUCUUCUCCUUUUUCGUCUUCUCCACAACCACCAUUCUAUUCCACAAAUAGUGCUAUAUCCAUGGCUCACGCUCAUGUAUUGCGUGAAGAUUGAAAAAGUUUGAGAACAUCAAAAGUAUGAAACAAUUGGUUGUAUUGUCAUCGGGGUUGUGGAUGAUUAAAUACUUUAUGUGAUGAAGAUAGAGCAUAGCCAAACUAUAUGAUUUUGUAGGGAUAACCUUCUUUGGCCAUGUUAUUUGAGAAAACAUGAUUCCUUUGUUAGUAUGCUUGAAGUAUUACUAUUUAUUAUGUCAAUAUGAACUUUUAUUUUGAAUCAUUUGGAUUUGAACAUUCAUGCCACAAUAAAGAAGAUUACAUUGAUAAAUAUGUUAGGUAGCAUUCCACAUCAAAAAUUCUGUUUUUAUCAUUUACCUACUCGAGGACGAGUAGGAAUUAAGUUUGGGGAUGCUUUAUAUGUCUCCAACAUAUCUAUAAUUUUUUAUUGUUCCAUGCUAUUAUAUUAUCCAUCUAGGAUGUUUUAUAUGCAUUUAUAUGCUAUUUUACAUGAUUUUUGGGACUAACCUAUUAACCUAGCCUAGCGCUAGUUUCUUCUUUUCCCUUGUUUUUGAGUAUCGCAGAAAAGGAAUACCAAACGGAGUCCAGACGUGCCAAUUUUUGAUGAUUUUUUAUGGACCAAAAGAAGACCACAAAGAAUUGGAGUUGGUCCAGAAGAGCCCCGGGCUGCCCACAAUGGUGGGGGGCGCGCCCACCCCCCUGGGCACGUCCCCUGCCUCGUGGACAGCCGGGAGACCCCCCUGACUUGUUCCCAACGCCAUAAAUUCCUAUUAAUACAGAAACCUGCAGGAGCAUACCUAGAUCGGGAGUUCCGCGGCCGCAAGCCUCUGUAGCCACCAAAAUCCAAUCGGGACCCUGUUUCGGCACCCUUCUAGAGGGCGGAACCCUCACCGGUGCCCAUCUUCAUCAUCCCAACGAUCUGCAUGACGAGCAGGGAGUAGUUCUCCCUUGGGGCUGAGGGUAUGUACCAGUAGCUAUGUGUUUGAUCUCUCUCUCUCUCUCUCUCUCUCUCUCUCUCUCUCGUGUUCUUGAGGUGGUACGAUCUUGGUGUAUCGCGAGCUUUGCUAUUAUAGUUGGAUCUUAUGAUGUUUCUCCCCCUCUACUCUCUUGUAAUGGAUUGAGUUUUCCCUUUGAAGUUAUCUUAUCGGAUUGAGUCUUUAAGGAUUUGAGAACACUUGAUGUAUGUCUUGCCGUGCUUAUCUGUGGUGACAAUGGGAUAUUCAUGUGAUCUACUUGAUGUAUGUUUUGGUGAUCAACUUGCGGGUUCGCCUUGUGAACUUAUGCAUAGGGUUGGCACACGUUUUCAUCUUGACUCUCCGGUUGAAACUUUGGGACACUCUUUGAAGUACUUUUGCGUUGGUUGAAUAGAUGAAUCCGAGAUUGUGUGAUGCAUAUCGUAUAAUCAUACCCACGGAUACUUGAGGUGACAAUGGAGUAUCUAGGUGACAUUAGGAUUUUGGUUGAUUUGUGUCUUAAGGUGUUAUUCUAGUACAAACUCUAUGAUAGAUUGAACGGAAAGAAUAGCUUCGUGUUAUUUUACUAUGGAAUCUUGAAUAGAUCGAGCAGAAAGAAUAACUUUGAGGUGGUUUCGUACCCUACCAUAAUCUCUUCGUUUGUUCUCCUCUAUUAGUGACUUUGGAGUGACUCUUUGUUGCAUGUUGAGGGAUAGUUAUAUGAUCCAACUAUGUUAUUAUUGUUGAGAGAACUUGCACUAGUGAAAGUAUGAACCCUAGGCCUUGUUUCCUAGCAUAGCAAUACCGUUUAGGCUCACUUUUAUCAUUAGUUACCUUGAUGUUUUUAUAUUUUCAGAUUACAAAAACCUAUAUCUACCAUCCAUAUUGCACUUGUAUCACCAUCUCUUCGCCGAACUAGUGCACCUAUACAAUUUACCAUUGUAUUGGGUGUGUUGGGGACACAAGAGACUCUUUGUUAUUUGCUUGCAGGGUUGUUUGAGAGAGACCAUCUUCAACCUACGCCUCUCACGGAUUGUUAAACCUUAGGUCAUCCACUUGAGGAAAAUUUGCUACUGUCCUACAAACCUCUGCACAUUGAACAAACGAAGGUUGCGUAGUAGACAUCACUGAGCAUGGGGAUACAUUUUUUUUCUUACCCUAUCUGCUCUGUAUCCUAAAAUACACGCCGGAUAUGUGUUAAUUGGCUCUGAGAUUUGUGUUUGCCAAAUAUAUUCGAGUACCUAACAAGAGGCUAAUGAGAGACUUUAUACAGAGUAGUUUUAUCUACAUAAUUAUCGUGUAUUACGGAGAACUGAUACAUUUUUCCAAGUCAUUUCUCUCAUGAUUAGGAUAGAGACUUCGAGUCGGGACGUUUUGUUUCAGUGUAAUGUCAGGUUGUCCAAGGGAUUUGGAAUUGUUGCUGUGUAGAUUGUGUCCUCCAGGAUCGGAUAAGGUACUGUAAAUUUUUCUCGGCAUGAAGUAAGUUGGAGUUGGUUCAGUACUUCAGAGGCCUCAUAAAUCACUGCAACAAGUGAAUGCUCAAUUGUACCAGAGCUGCGCAUGGACGUGGAGUUGUUAUACUGGUAUAGGUUAUUUUUCCUCUGGAUAAGAUAAGAUGUUGUAAAAUAGUCUCGGCUUGAACUAAGUUCAAAUUGGUUCAGUAAAUCACUACGCAAAUGAAUGCUCCAUUGCAACAGAGCUGCACAUGGACGUGGAGUUGUUAUACUAGUUCCAUCCUCCACCUCAGGUGAGCCCUUCCCUCCUGUACCAUGUUCCGUCCAAUUUUUUCCCAGAAGUUUCUCGCAGUAUAACUGCAAUUGGUCAACGCAGUUAGUAGUCAUUAUGCCUCCAACUGCAAUGCAUGUGGCGUUUGUGAAUCAUGAAAUGGUUGCUUUGCUUGCUUGCGAUUAGUCUAGUCUAUGCAGCAGGUGCACGCUCUGAGCUCGCUCGCAAGGUGUUUGCGACAAUGCCUCUAGGAAAGUUGAAAUGUCAAUUUGUUCAGCCAAUGUAGAAUUCUAUGUUCCACAAGAUACGGAGGAGCCUAUGGAUCUUAAACUUUGCUCAUUAAAUUGAACAGAAAACAUUGUACUAUUCGUACACAAACAAAACAUCUAUGGGUGGGGAUGUUGGCGUUGCGCGAUUAAAUUGAAAAGAAAAUGCUCUGAUAAGAUUAGCAUAUACGGUGUGCUUCAUGCAUCCAAGAGACCAAGAUGUCUUCUCUUCUCUGUGGGGAGAAGCUGAUUUUGCAUUGACGGCUAAUGAUUAUUCUUUGUGUUCCAUAGUUUAAAAGGCAACCAUUUUGCACUGGAUAACCAAGUAUUCUGCCAGGGUUAAAUUUAAUUAAGAAUGUUGUUCUGCACUUUUGCUUAUUGUAAGCUCCUCCUUUUGCCCAUUUUAUUUCCUUGGGAAAUGUACUCUGAUUCAGCCAGGACAUCACAAGACUGUGCUCUGUUUCUUCUCAGGUCCAGCCUGAUUCGGCAUUCCUGGACAGCCACAAGGCAUGCCUUGGCCGCCAUUGAGCAGAAUGCCGCUGGUGGCCAGCGGCUACAGAGUGUCGUCUCAGCGGACAAGGGAGUAUCAGGCGAGACAUCAUCAUCAUCAAGCGAGCAUGGGAGUUUUUCCUGCAAGCAAGUAUCUCAUUAUCCUUACCUUCAUCUGAACCACACUUGCAUUUUUAAAUCUUUGGAGAUGGCGUAGGAUAAGGCCCAGAUGAACGCUAGCCACUGUUAGGAGUACAAGUUUAGUCCUGACAGACUGGGCGUAAGUGGAUUGGUUUGCCUUUUGAUUAGUAUAAGUAGAUGGUAGCAGACCUGGACAAAUAACAUUGGAUCUUAAUGUCUCAUGACAUUGAGUAGAGGACAAGAGAUCGGAUGAGUCUUGUUGUCACAUGUGGUUCGGAUGGUCAAAGUAGAUGAUAGUUGGAUCCGAGCACCCAGUCAGUGAUGCUCUGCCGCCCGAUUUAAAAUGGUGCUCUCUGGAGAGUCAACGUCGACCCCGGCGCUGGUGCAGGAGGUGUCCAUGGGCAACGUCCUCAGCGCAAAGUUCGGCUAGGCCCCGGCCAGGCAGGCCUCUCUCCGCGUCGCCUGCCCAACACCGUACCCUGCACUACUGUCAACAAAGUCUGCUCAUCGGGGACGAAGUGUAUCCAUAUUUCAUCUCUUCACCUGCAAUGUCUCCGUAGUUACUUGUCGCCGCUGCUAAAAAACAUAUGUUGUUGCAUGUUGGCCUGCUCCUUGCUAUCUGAAGUAUAUAUUUUUUGUCUAUCGCUCAUUCGCUAUCUGAAUAAUUUUAUGAAGGUAAUUUUAGUGUGUGUUUAGCUUUCUGUUUUUGCUUCUACUUCACAGAGUGGAAGAUCGUAAGAAAACAUUGGAUGAUCUUUAAGAAUUAUUCUUAGAAGUAAACCUGAGCAGUAUUUGAUGAUAUAUUGUGAGUCACUGAAAAUGUAUAUUGUUUUUUCUUCAGGAUAUGGAUGACUAUCUGAAGGGAUGCAGGUUUCUUCCCAAACUUAAGAAUGAGAUACCUGGUGAAAGAAAUGCUCCCUAGUCCCUACAGGGAAAGGUUGAGCAGCCUAGAGAAUUUAGUACUGAUCAUGGUAAGGCCAACAAAGCCUGAAAUCUCAUUUUGAUCCACGUUCAAAGAUUACAUGCUACCAUAUAUACUUGAAGUUGGCAUGUAAUAUCAAAAUUAAAAAUAGACUUCGCCUAUUCCCUGUUUAGAAGAGCAGUGGGAAUCAAUUUUCUGAUGUCCUUUGUUGGCGAUUUCCCUAUCCAUGAAAUGAUAAAUUUUGAAGAGAUGUUAACUUUCAAAUAUUUCAAGCAUAUAUAGCUCAAAUACACUAGUAUUUCUUGAAUGCACCAAAACAAGAAGAUAGCAUCAACACGUACAGCUAGGGUAUGCAUUUAGUAGGUGUUUUUCCGUUUUGAAGAUUCAUAAUAGACUAAAAGAGACAGAUAAUUGAAAAAAAUACCGUAGUGGAUCUGCACAAGGGCGCUAACUAACAAGUUUUCACUUUCUCGAUUGGGUGUAGGGUGAUCGACGAGGACUACUGUGGCCCGAUGGGAGUCGUGCUCUUCAACUACUCGGAGGCAGACUUCACCGUGAAGCCCCGCGACCGCGUCAUACACAUUAUCGUCCAGGUGAUUACGAUGUAGGAGGUCCCAGGGGUGGAGGACCUCGACGCCACCGUCUGGAGGUCACCAAGGUGGAGGACGACGCCAUCUUCCGGAGUUCCUCAAGGUGGAGGACCUCGACGGUUUGUACAUAUAUCUAGAGAAGUGGUCUGGUUAGGUUGGUGGUGAAACGCUAGGGAAGGUACCAACCUUUUGAUGAUGGUUGUGUGUGUCCUCGUCAUCUCUUCGAGUUGAGAUGUUCAAUGUUGCAUCCGUGAACACUGCAAGUGUUAAGAUGGUUCUGUGAAAUUUAUUUUGCACUGGACGUGCCUCUGAUCUCCAUUCAUGAAUACUGCAUCUAUUUUUAUUUUUUAAUUCCUAAUUUGUUACUAGUAGCAUUCGGAAAAAGUGCCCUACUAGUAUUUAGGAUACUAGUAGCGCUGGUAUUAUAGGCACGCUACUACUACUUCACUAGUAGUAGCGCGUGUCUAUAAUAGCAGCAGCGUGGGUGGCACACGCUACUACUAACAAAAUAAGUAGUAGCACGGGUUUCACCCACGCUACUACUAACUAUUAGCUGUAGCGCGAUACUAGUAGCGCAGGUAUCCGCGCUGCUAGUAGCCUUUUUCUUAGUAGUGUUAAGAUCCAUCCACUAGACAGAUCCAAUUAGCAACUUCUUCGACGACAAUAGAGCCGCACUUGCUCUCCGGGCGUCAUGGCUUCGACCCCAAGCCACGCAUGGACGAGUUGCUUCCAUCAGCGAUAGGAAGGCCGUGCACACAGGCCCAAGCUAACCGGUCAAUGCCGUCGUGAGUGUCAUGUGCGCGCUUGCAAGCUAACGUACGAUGUGUCUGCUCGAGCAGCCACUGUUAGAUAAAACGAUAAUAAAGAGACACAAGAGACACAGAUUUUUUACAUGGAAACCAUUGCCCGAGAAAACCACGGAUGCACGAAGGCGUAAUCACUAUGAGGAGGAGUAUUACAAGCACGAGACGACAUGCCAUCUUCAGGUGCGACUACGUGGGGUACGUAUUAGGGGCAACACAUAAGAGUCUUUGUAGUACAAGUAAACGAUCGAGUUGUACUCAUACCCGUCGGUACCAACACAAAACACGCACCAGUUGUACUACGAUCUAGUCCAACACGGUAUUAGAAUUUGGAUCACAAUUUAACAAUCUCCACCUUGAGCAAAAUUCCCUCUAGUAGUCGAAGAAAGUAAAUAACACCAUUCAAAUCAGCAUAAACACCUUGUGUGUCCAAGUCCAUAGGACUAGUGAGAAAUACCAACUAAGCAUGAGCAAAGCUCAAACUUAUUGGUAGAAACUGGCCUUUUCAUCAUAUCAGCACGAUUAUCAUGAGUACUUAUCUUGCGUAUCUUCAAAUCACCUUCAACAACAACAUCUCGAAUAUAUCGAUAUCUGACAUCAAUGUGCUUUGUUCUCUCUUGCUACAUUGGAUUCUUUGUAAGAUAUAUAACACUUUAGCUGUGAGAAUAUAUGAUAGGGAAAGAAUAAUCUCCACAAAGCUCAGUGUAUAAACAUCUCAACCAGAUAGCUUCUUUGCAUGCCUCAGAAAUAGCCAUAUACUCGGCAUCAGUAGUGGAACAAGCCACCCUAGACUGUAAAGUUGCUCCCCAACACAUAGCACAACCACCAAUGGUGAAAACAUAACCUGUGAGUGAACUUAUCUUAUCAAACUAACCAGCAAGAGAAUAUUUCUAGGUCCCAAUAUACCCAAUGUCAGAUCGCUGCCAAGAAACACGAGCCAGAAAACACAAUAUGCGUACCUGCCACACCUUCAUAACUCCAAAUACCUGGAUUUGUUACAGUUCCUCCUGAAAUACUCCAACCACCCCACGAAUCCGUUAUUCCUAAACGAGUCAUAAAAGGGAAUUACGAACAUACCUUUUCUCCACAUUGGAUCCAGAACAGGACCAGAGGGAUAAAAAACUGCUAAUUCGUAUAAAGCCAUUGAGCCAGCCCAACCAGAAACUAGAGCUCGACAAAACCAAUAAGUCCAUCUCCAGUUUUUCCAAACUGUAAAUAAGCAUUAGAAGCACCUCGUAGGUAUCCGAAAAUACACUGAACUGCUUUCCAAUGCACUUUUUGAAGAAAAUAUGACCUAGAGGCAAUAAUAAAGUUGUUAUUUUAUAUUUCCUUAUAUCAUGAUAAAUGUUUAUUAUUCAUGCUAGAAUUGUAUUAACCGGAAAUUUGAUACAUGUGUGGAUACAUAGACAAAACACCAUGUCCCUAGUAAGCCUCUACUAGACUAGCUCAUUAAUCAAAGAUGGUUAAGUUUUCUAACCAUAGACAUGAGUUGUCAUUUGAUAACGCGAUCACACCAUUAGGAGAAUGAUGUGAUGGACAAGACCCAUCCAUUAGCUUAGCAUAAUGAUCGUUCAGUUUAUUGCUAUUGCUUUCAUCAUGUCAAAUACAUAUUCCUUCGACUAUGAGAUUACGCAACUCCCAGAUAUCGGAGGAAUACUUUGUGUGCUAUCAAACAUCACAACAUAACUGGGUGAUCAUAAAGAUGCUCUACAGGUAUCUCCGAAGUUAUUUGUUGAGUUGGCAUAGAUCGACAUUAGGAUUUGUCACUCCGAGUAUCGGAGAGGUAUCUCUGGGCCCUCUCGGUAAUACUCAUGAUAAGCUCACAAGCAAAUGACUCGGGAGUUAGUCAACGAGGUGAUGUAUUACGGAACGAGUAAAGAUACUUGCCAGUAACGAGAUUGAACUAGGUAUGAAGAUAUCGACGAUCGAAUCUCGGGCAAGUAACAUACCGACAGACAAAGGGAACUACGUAUGUUGUCAUAUAGGUUCAACCGAUAAAGAUCUUCAUAGAAUAUGUAGGAAUCAAUCUGGGCAUCCAGGUGCUAUUAGUUAUUGACCAGAGAGGUGUCUCGGUCAUGACUACAUGAUUCCCGAACGCUUAACGUUUGUUGAUGCUAGAGUAGUAUUGGUAUAUUUGAUGAGUAGUAACCAAAUGUUGUUCGGAGUCCCGGAUGAGAUCCCAAACGUCAAGAGGAGUCUCGGAAUGGUCGAGAGGUAAAUAUUUGUAUAUAGGAAGUCAUAUUUUGGGUUCCGGAAAAAGGUGCAGUUUUUUCGGUAUUGUACCCGGAAGCUUCUAGAAAGUUCCAGAGGAUUCCGGGGGGGUUCGGAAGUCCACAAGUGGGUUCACCACGACCCAAGGGCUAGCAUGGGCUGCGGGAAGGUGCCCUAACCUUCUUGGGCUAGGCGCACUAAGUCCUGAAAAGCCCAUGUGGGCUAGGGAAAGGAAAAAAGGAUGGAGUCCUAGUAGGAAUACGAUUGGACUUGGAUUCCAAGUCCUCCCCCGNNNNNNNNNNNNNNNNNNNNNNNNNNNNNNNNNNNNNNNNNNNNNNNNNNNNNNNNNNNNNNNNNNNNNNNNNNNNNNNNNNNNNNNNNNNNNNNNNNNNNNNNNNNNNNNNNNNNNNNNNNNNNNNNNNNNNNNNNNNNNNNNNNNNNNNNNNNNNNNNNNNNNNNNNNNNNNNNNNNNNNNNNNNNNNNNNNNNNNNNNNNNNNNNNNNNNNNNNNNNNNNNNNNNNNNNNNNNNNNNNNNNNNNNNNNNNNNNNNNNNNNNNNNNNNNNNNNNNNNNNNNNNNNNNCGCCUUGGACUUUGGAGGGGUUGUUGCCACACCCCUCCACCUAUAUAUAGAAGGGAGGGGCUCCCCAAGAGUACACACAAAGCCCUUGACGCCCCUCUCUCUCCCGUUACUCAGUAGUUCCACCACCUCGUCCCGGCGACGCUUAGCGAUGCGCUAUCGGUGCUCCACCACCACCAUCACCACCACGCUGUCAUGUUGGUUGUCAUCCCAUCUACUUCUCCUCUCCCUCUUGCUGGAUCAAGAAGGAGGAGACGUCUUCGAUCCGCACGUAUGCUAAACUCGGAGGUGUUGUCCGUUCGGUACUAGAUCGGUUGGAUCGUGAUCAGAGCUAGAAGAAGUCCGACUACGUUAACCGCGUUGUCUAACGCUUCCGCUUUCAGUCUCCGAGGGUACAUAGACACACUCUCCCCCUCUCGUUGCUAUGCAUCUCCUAGAUAGAUCUUGCGUGAGCGUAAGAAAAUUUUGAAAUUGCGUGCUACGUUCCCAAACACUUUUCAAGGAUUAGCCAUGUAUCAACUGACAACACUCAAUGCAUAAGACAAAUUCGGACAAGAACAAACCAUGGCAUGCAUAAGUGAACCAACUGCACUUAAUAGGGAACUCUGGACAUGUACUCAAUAUCUGCAUCUUACUUAGGGCAUAAAGCUGAUGAUAACUUGAAGUGUACAGCUAACGGAGUACUCACCGGCUUGGCAUUAUGCAUAUCAAAACGACGAAGAAGUUUAUCAUUAUACCCCUUCUGACUUAGAUAUACUUUUCCAGAUGGUCUAUCUCCGGAUAUUUCCGUGCCAAGUAUUUUCUUUGCUGCACACAAAUCCUUCAUCUCAAAUUAAUCACUCAAUUGCUUCUUUAGUUCAUUAAUAUCUAACAUACUCUUUGCAGCAAUAAGCAUAUCAUCAACAUAAAGGAGAAAAUAAAUAGUUGAUCCAUUGACGGUUUUCAAAUAAACACAACUAUCAUAAUUAGACCUUUUGAAACCUUGAGAGAGUAUAAAAGUGUCAAAUCUCUUGUACCAAUAUGUAGGGGAUUUCUUUAACUUAUAGACAAGCUUUUUAUUUUUCAAGAAUAACAAAACCUUCAGGUUGUUACAUAUAAAUAUCCUCUUCUAAUUCUCCAUGUAAGAAUGCAGUUUUAACAUCCAAUUGUUCAAUCUCAAGAUCAUGCAUGGCAACAAUACUGAGUAAAGUGCGAAUAGAGUUAUGCUUCACAACAGGAGAAAAGACUUCAUUAUAGUCAGUACCUGGAAUUUGACUGUAACCUUUAGCAACUAACCUUGCUUUAUACUUUGUUUCAUCAUUAGGAGAAACACCUUCUUUCCUCUUGAAAACCCACUUGCAACGAAUAGGUUUCUUCUCUCUAGGUAAUUUUACUAAAUCCCAAGUACCAUUAUUUUCAAGUGAUUCUAUCUCAUCAUGCAUAGCGGUUAUCCACUUAUUACUAUCACCAAAAAUAAUAGCCUCGGAAUAUGAAGAAGGCUCAGCAUUACCUUCAAUUUCUUCUGCAACAUAUAAAGCAAAAGAAACAAUAUUGCACUCUUCAAUUAACCUUUCAGGUUUAUUAAUACAUCGCGUAACUCUGUCACGUGCAGGCUUCCAACUGGGUGGAACAAUAGGAUGAUUUGGAGUGGGAGUGACAUGUUCAUCAUCAACGAUGGGUUCAUCAUGUGCAUCAAUAUUUUUCUUAUAAGAUGUAUCACCUGAAUCAAUAACAUGCUCCACGUGAACAGUAGGAUGCUGAAUAGUAGCCUGUUGUACACUCUUAAUAGGAACAUUGGUAGAUGAAACAUCUUGUAGCACAUCAGAUGCAUUAAAAAUAACGUUUCUGCUAAUAACAACCUGUUGGGUGUUAAGAUUCCACAAUUUAACUUUAAUACCAGACUUAUUACCAAGAAAGAUGCACUUAACAACCCUAGGCUCCAACAUUCCAUUAUCAACAUGAGCAUAAGCAGUGCAACCAAAUACUCUCAACCGUAAAUAGUCAGCAGGUGAAUCAGACCAUACCUCAAUUGAAGUUUAAGGAAUGGACUAAACCCUAUGAAAAAACUCAAAUGGACUGUGAAUUAGCAAAAGACAAUACAUGAUCACCAAUUAACCUAUGACUAUUUCUCAAAAAAAAAAAACCGAUGGCUAACAGAAAAAAAACAUAGGAUUAAUUUAAAUGUGGUUUUAGAAACUCAAGGAAGGAGACGGAGCGCGAGUCCGGAAAGAGGACGGAGAUUCGGCAGUGGAUGGAGAUGGAGGGGAACUCAAGAAGGUUCGGUACGAACUCAACAAGAAGACGAGGAGCUGUUGGGAUUAGGUAACCACAACGACGUGUCCGGCUUGGAGUUGAACUCGAUUAAGAGUCGUUCUCAGUUAUUACUAGUAGAUAUAAAAAGCGAUCCAGCGGGCCGGUGCCUGGCUGAGCGUGAGACCCCGCGGUGUACGUAAAAUUGCCACCGACGGGCGACCGGCGGCGAGCGGCGGCGGUGAAGCCUUCUCUUCUCUUCUCAACACCCCACCCCACCCCCCAACCAGAGAUCCUCCGCCCCCCAACCAGGAUCCUCGGCCGAAGGCGGCGGAGAGGGAAGGAAAAGAUGGAGGGGGAACUCAGCAAGAAGACGGAGAGCAAGUCCGGGAAGAUCGAGUCCGGCCAGGGGACGGAGAUGGAAGGGGAGCUCAGGAAAGAGCAGGAGAGGAUCAGGGAGCUUCGGGACCAACUCAUCAAGAGUUGUGAAUCCUCCACGGACCCGGCGACGCAGAGGAUAUUCUUGGAUCAGCUGGAUGAACUCUGGAUGGAGGAGUACGCACUCCGCACCUACAUGAGCAAGUCCGGGAUGGAGAUUCAGAGGGCUUCCGGUUCCGAUACAGAUCCCGAUUGCGAUUCCGAUUCUGGCGAUGAGAUGGGCAGUUCGGGGGUGCACCCAUCCCUCAUAAGGAUGGAGUGGAGACUCAGGAAGGAGAUGAUGGAGAGGGAUUCCAGCAAGGGGACGACCGAGAUCGAGUCCGGCAAAGAGCAGGAGAUGGUGGGCAAACUCAGCAAGGAGCACCAGAGACUCAGGAAGGUUCGGUACCAACUCAACAAGAGGUGCCCGGCGACGCAAAGGAUACUCUCGACUCAGCAGGAGAUACUCUGGACCAAGGAGCAAGCACUCCUCACCAUCAUGAGGCAGUCGGGGAUGGAGAUUGAGAGGGAUCUUCCCGAUUCCGAUUCCGGCAAUGAGAUGGGCAGAGAUUCGCCCCUCAUAAGCAUGGAGUCGGGACUCAGCAAGGGGACGGAGAAAGACGCCAGUGGCAAGGACUUGGUUGUUGCUCUUUCUAGCCACCUUGAGGUGCUUAAGAGGGAGAUCUCGUUCCUGAGGACAGAGGUCACGUCCCGGGGCAAUGGGUUGGCUGGAAAUGGAAACAAGGCUGAUCAAGAGCACAUCAUCAUGUCUAACCUGUCCCUCGAUGACACUCUACUCAAGAAGAAGGUGAAUUUGCCUUACCUCGGUUGCCAGACUGAGCAUGUAAUGGAUUUCCUGCUCGUCGAGACGCAGCAGUUGCUCUAUCGCUUCAACUCUUUCGCGUCCAUUCUACAAAAAUUCAGAAUCCCCAUAUCUUCGGACAAGAUUGAGAAGCUGCGUCUCAUAUCCAAUGCACUUGUGGGCAUCUCGGAGCUUAUCAAAAGGCACAAAUCUGCUGCUGCCAAGGGUCAUGGAGAUUAUUUGGACUGUGCAGGCUGGGUUGCUACGUGGGGAUGCUCGACGAGAAAACAUGGUGCCUUUGACGACAUAAGUAAGCCAAAAAUACUGCUAUAUACCUAUCUUAGUUUUCCUCUCUCUAAUUAACUAAUCGUGCCUUGGUCAAUUAAAUGCAAUCCCCUUCUUGUAUAUAUCACCACUAAAUACAACUCUUCUUAUAUAUGCAUAGAUUUCAAUCUGCUAACUUUAGCAGUAGCUUGAUUUAUAACACUCCUCAAUCUCUUGAUUUUGUGCUGCAGCGACAUUGAGUCCUAUGCAAUUCACGGCUUGCACGCCUGGAAUCUUCCCAUUCUCGUCCGUGGCAGGCCCUGCCUUGCAGAUCUAUUCAGUCAGGCUCGUUAAUCUUAACCCGAAUCUGAGUUGGCCACUUGAUGUCUACGGCGUGGUCGCGGCACGGGACGAUUUUGACAACAACCUCAACAUUCUCUUCCGCCGGUCAAGUGCAAACUGCCAAAGAAUUAAGAAAGAGGUUUGUACAAUGUCUAUCUUCUCGUCUAAUUGUUAUAAGAUAAAAGUAUGUUUUUGGUCCUUCAAGUUUCUCAAAAGUAUUAUAUGAAGAUCAUUUGACGUGUGACAAAGGAUUGGUUAUAAUGGUUGCAUAAUGUUUGUAGUUUAACCUGAGUUGAUUGGUUACCUGCAUACCUUGGGAUUGUUUUGUUUAACCAGAUUCUUUUAAGGUUCAAACUAGUCGGUAUCAGCUUUAGGCAAGUUAUGCAGGCCAGGCCGUAUGUAUGUUGAAAUUUUUCUGCCUUAUUUAGCGAGCAUAGAGAAAAUCAGCAAAAACAAAAAUGACAACAAUUAAAGUAGUCUGCCACAUGCUGAGGCUGUCUCUAGAUGAUGGCAGGGCACAUGCACCUGUUAUGUUUAUUUCUGUAUAUCGCACAAGCAAAGCAGCAUGCACAUGGGCAAAGGCCGAGCGAAUCCGGCCGACAUUGGCCACCUGAUUGGGUGGCCGUGUGAUUGACGGAGGGUAGAGAUACCCAAAGGUUGUAAAAUCGACUGUGGAUAUUGACCUGCUGUUUCUUUGGGUGUGAAAGCAGUACGUGCCGGUCAAGUUCAAACCGGUGUAUUAGAGUGGUACAGAUUAGUAGGAUCUGUUUGGGAACUAUUUCUUUGAGAUUCUUUCCGAAUUAUGGCCAUGGUUAGACUUUGUCUAGUUAAACUGAACUGUUAUUUUUGCCUGAUGUUUGUGACUGACGUUGAUGAAUAUGAUGCUUGCAGGACCCAUUUUUGCACUUGAUUGGCCCGUCUCGUGCAAUUGUGGCUGGCGAACCUGUUUUGUUUCAAAUUGACCUGAAAUUGAAGUAUGGAGCACAGUUUGAACAUACAGCAUCGUUCGCUGCCAACCAAAGUUACCGCUCUAUCAAGCGGUGUGACACCAUGCAGAUCCGCAACUCCUGUUGUACAGCAAAGAUAAGACUUGGGCGAGUUGCUCCAGCAAUCCAGGCGACAAUAGUAGGUGUUCGUGUGGUUGAAGGGGAGUGGCCUUUUAAGUAUGGAUGUAACGUUUCUUGCUUGUUUUCUCCUGCUGAUGCAACGGAGGGAUGCGCCGCAGAAGUCGUCUUGCUUGACUGUCAUGCUAAAAAGAUGCGUGCAGGAUCAGAUGGGUAUCUUUCUUUGUCAAGAAAUGUUGUGGCAGUGGGAUUGCAGGGCACACUCCGAGUCGUCACAGGAGCAUACUCAAAGUCCGGACUCAAUAUUGUUCGAAAAUAUCAUGUCGAAUUUCCUAUCCAGCAGUGUCAGACAAAUAGUUGUAGAUGCUCAAUUCACGGCUCCACGUUGGAGAUAGUUGUUGCUUGGUCUCGCCUUGUCAUAGACAAGCAUGAUCAUGUACUCGAUGGUUAUUGAAGGUGUGAGGAGUGGCAGUGGCUUAGGCUUUUACCUCGAUUUGUGAGCUUAGCUUAGGCUUGGUCUUUUUUCCCAGAUAUAUGAUACUAGUUUCACACUUUGGUCUGAUAACUUGGUUACUAAACAUUUUUAAUGUGCAGGUCCAAGCAGGGUGGUCUUAUGGAAAAAAGGUGUAAGAUCUUUUUUUUUUAGAAAAGGAGGAUGACCUCCGGCCUCUGCAUCUGGGCGAUGCAUACGACCACUUUAUUAAUUAUUUUCACAAGACCUUACAAAGUCAUACAACAGUAAGACUAAAGCCGCCGUCUAAGCAACAAACUGUCGCUACACCUAUCCAGUUGAUGAAGGAGCGCAUAUAGCCUGGGCCUAAUACCAAACAUACAUCGCAGUCAAGCCUAACAUCUAGGACACCGUUAAGUGCCACACGUGUGGCACAAUGGACAUCCGCCCACACGUCCCUGUGUGGCAUAUCCAGCAGGCAGCCCACACGACUCUGUGUGGGCGAAUAUUAAAACUGCCCACACGUGUGGCACGAAGAGCACCCUACCACACACACGUUCAGCACCAGCUAAGGGGACACACAGCCCGCACACCUUCAUCACACGAGGCCCUUUUCCCAGUAAAAAAAGGAACAAAAAGCCCACUGACAACAAAUUAAAUGAAAAGGCACAGAUUCUGUUUUCUUUCUUUGACAAAUAAAAGCACAUAUUUUGCUCAGCUACUAAAAAAUGCCAUCAACUUUGAAAAAUAGCAGAAAAAAUUGCCAUCCGAGUUUUUUAACAAUGGCAAAGGUUUAUAAACACAUAUUUAAUCCCCCAAUGAAAUAUGGCAAAUAUGCCAUGACAAAAAAAAUUCAAUAUUGCCAUGUGAGAAAACACGAAAUAGUCAAAAAAAUUCAUGUGAACACAAAAAAUUUGACAGGACAAAAAAAAUAUAAAAAAUGCAAAUGCCAUUUUUAAUUAAAUUACCAUGAAAGUUUAAUUAUAAUUGCCGUGUUUUGAAGGAUAAUUUUGCCAUGUGUUAGAAAAAACACAAAAAAUUGAAAAUCAAGUAUGAACAAAGAGAACUGCCAUGGCAGAUUGCUAUCAAAGAAUUGCCGUGUUUUGUAUGAUGAAUUUAUCGUGUGUGAAAAACACAAAAAGUUGGAAAUUCAAGUAUGAACAAGAAACUUGCCAUGGAAGAUUUGUAUCAAAACUUGCCACGGCGAAAUUCACGUAAACUAAAUUGCCAUGAAAGUUUUUAAUUAAAUUGCCAUGGCAUUUUUAAUUAAAUUUCCAUGAAAGCUUAAUUAAAAUUGUCGUGUUUUGAAUGACAAAUUUGCCACGUGUGAGAAAAAACACUGAAACUUGAAAAUAAAGUAUGAACAAAGAGAGUUGCCAUGGCAGAUUUCUAUCAAGAAUUGCCGUGUUUUGGUAUGAUGAAUUUAUCGUGUGUGAAAAAAGACACAAAAAAGUUGGACAUUCAAGUAUGAACAAGAAACUUGCCAUGUCAGAUUCGUAUCAAGAAUUUGUUGUGUUUCGUAUGAUGAAUUUACCGUGUGUGAAAAAAAAUGAAAAUCAAGUAUGAACAAGAAAAUUGCCAUGGCAGAUUCAUAUCGAAAACUUGUCAUGGCAGAAAAAAUCAAGUAAACUAAAUUUGCCAUGAUUUGAAAACUAAAUUUGCCAUGAUCAAUAAACUAAAUUUGCCAUGCCAUGAUCAAUAAACCAAAUUUGUAUCAAAACUUGGCAUGGCAGAUUUGUAUCAAGAAAUUGCCGUGUUUUGUAUGAUGAAUUUGCCGUGUGUGUAAAAAACAAAAAAAGUUGAAAAUCAAAUGUAUGAACAAGAAAAGUGCCAUGGCAGAUUCGUACCAAAACUUGCCACAGCAAAAUCCAUGAAUUUGCCACUGUCUUGUUCAAAAGAAAAAUGCCAUGUUGCAAAAAAGUGAAGAAUUGCCGUGGUCCCAUUCAAAAAGUUCAAAAUCAAGUUUGAACAAGAAAACUUGCCAUGGCAGAUUCGUAUCAAGAAUUGCCGUGUGUUGCAUGAUGAAUUUACCGUUUGUGAAAAAACAAAAAAAAAGUUGAAAUCAAGUAUGAAGGAGAAACUUGCCAUGGCAAAUUUGUAUCAAGAAUUGACAUGGCAGAUUUGUAUGAUGAAUUUAUCGUGUGUGGAAAAAUAUAAAAAAUUUGAAAAUCAAGCAUUAACAUGAAAACAUGCCAUGCAGAUUUGUAUGGAAACAUGCCAUGGCAGAAUUGUUUCAAAACUUGCGACGAUGAAAAUUCAUGUAAACCAAAUUUGCCAUGAUUUGAAAACUAAAUUUGCCUUAACUAGCAAACUAAAUUUGCCAUGAUUUCUUAAAUAAAUUUGCCUUGUUUGUGAAAGUAAAAUUUGCGGAGGGGAAAAUGAGUGAAAACUGCCAUGGAUGUGUAGUUAUAUUAGCCAUGUCAACAAAAGAUAGAAUUGCCAUUGCAAAUAUAAAAAUAGCAAAAUUUGAGGAACCUGCCAUGAGAGCAGUACAAAAGAAAGCUAAAAAUUGCCAUGUUCGAAAGACAGGAAUGUAAUGGGCUUCAUGAGAUCACAAUGCUCUCAUGGGAAAUGAAACCAUGGUAAAAUGGUUCACUAACACAUGUAUGUUAAGUAAAUUUGCCAUCGGGAUGAAGGUAAAUUUGCCAUGGCAAAAAAAUAGAAAUUUAAAUUUGCCAAUGUCAGUUACUAAAUUUGCCGUGAUCGAUAAACUAAAUUUCUCGUGAUCCGUUAACCAAAUAUGUCGUGGCAAAACUGAAGAACUGAUGUGGCUAACAUUCUAAUUUUCCAUGGUGAGAAAACAUCUUUUAGAAUGGUCUAUGGGAAAAUACAUCUAAAAAAAUCCAUGGCAAAAUUGUUCUAACUAGCUAAUUUUCCAUGGCAAGAAAGGAGCUAUGUGAUGAACUUGCCAUGUGAUCACACUGCACAAACCAAAACAAAACUAGGCAUGGAGGGGGUGGGGGUGGGGGGUUACAAAAUACUAGGCAUCUAUUUUGCCAUGGCAACUAUGAAUUGAACAUGGGCGUCUAUUUUGCCGUGGCAAAAAAGGUGUGAAAUUUGCCAUGGAUCAAAAAGGAAAACUAGAAUUUUCCAUGUUUAUGGUUCAAAUAAUAAAAAUGACAUGGUUAGGAAGAUGUCUUUGCCAUGGUUAGUAAAAUAAAUUUGCCAUGGCAACAACCUUGAAAAGAUCAAACUUGCUUGUCCUCAAACUAAUUUGUAAUUGACAUGGCAACAUCCUUCGGAUGGACAUCGCAAAAGACACAAUGAAUAAGGGCAACACAUGCUUUUAGUUGCCAUGUAAAAAAAACACAUCUAUACAAUUUACUGAUUUUAGUUUCCAUGGCUAGUUUGUUGUGUUUUUGAACAUCUUAUGUUGGCAAGUUUUUGAACAUCUUAACUUGCCAUGGCAAGUUUGCCAUCCUUGUGAACAUCUUAAUUAAACAAUAGCUAACUAUUCUCUUAAGAUUUGCCAUGCUUAAUCUAGUCAUCAUCAACAUACAAAGUGAAGAAAAUGGAAGACAAACACAUUGAUUUUUGUGAAAUGUGGCAUGUUACUUUGCGAAAAAUAGCCAUGAUUUUUUAGAACAUUAUCUCUUAAAUUUCCCGUGAGGUGAAAAGUGAUGUUGCACCAGACUUGGCGUGCGCUAGCUCUGGUUGUGGACAAGGAUGGCGACAUCCUCAUCGGUGCACCAGAGCGGAGCGGAGCGACCGCUGCACCUGCGUGUGUGCAGGUCUGAGGGUGUGCGACAUGGCAAAUUUACAAUUUUCUUGUUUUCAUACAUGAAGGCAAAAUUAGAAAAUAUCUAUGAAUUUCGCAUGGCAAAUUGUGCGUGCAAUUCACAGUCACAAAGGAUAAAAUCUGAAAAAAGCACCUGAGCAUGAGAAGCAUCCAAGAUUCUCAUGUCCUUGCACUGACUCCACCUGAGCACGAAUUUCCCUUGUUGCUGCUUGUGGAGCCGUCCCCGUCCUCUGCUGCUGCUUCCACACCCCGAUGCUACUCCUCCAAAACAUCCUCCACUGAUGUGUUGGUCCUCCUGGUCGCACUGCGACUGCUCCCGGAGCUUGCGUUGCACGAAGCGUGGAGGUUUGGACACGAGGAAGCUGUCCGAGAAGAGUGCGGAGCUCGUGGUGCACGAAGGCGUUGGAGCCGAACGCCGACAUGCCCCAUCCCAGACCACAGCUCUCACAUACCCGCGUCAGCAUCCAGUGCAGUAGCGAGGGCGCCCCUCGUUGUCGACCGCAUCGCGUACCAUCGUCUUCCCGCCGCUGUUCUCCACCAGAGUUGCCGCCGCGCGCUACCCGCGCAACCGCCUCCACUCUAUGUGCGUGCAGGUCCUCGUCGUAGCCUCCUGCCGCGUCGCCGGAGCCGCGCCAACACCCGAGGCCUUAGCACGGGCGGCCCCGUAUUUAAACGCAUCGGCCCCCAUCUCCUUCCCGCCACUCAUCUCCACCGCGGUCUCCGGGAGCCGCACCUCCGCAGCGGUCUCCGAGUAAGCCGCCGGCGCAGCCACCCCGCAUGAGCUCCUCGCCGUGGUGCUCGCACUCCGGGAGCAGCACCUCCGUCGCGGUCUUCGAGAAAGCCACCGUCGCAGCAAUCCCACACGAGCUCCACGCCGUGGUGCUCGCACUCCGCGAGAAGCACCUGCUCGCGCCGAGCUCACGCCGCCGUGGCCCCUGCUCACGCUGGAGCUGCCCCCGCGCUGCCUCUGCUCGCGCCGAUGCGGGCCGACGAUGCAGCUCCAAGCACGGCGCUCUCCCUCCUCCGCUGCAGCAGCUUGAACCCCAGCAGCGGUGCGCGCCUUCCCUCGUCGUCGGCCCAAUCCCCUGUCGGGCGCCGUUCCCCUCCCCCUCCCCUCCUCCGGUGACCCCCCUCUUUCACUCGUGUGGAUGACAAAGAAAGCGAUGAGGAGUUGAUAAGAAGGGGAAAGAGGGUGAAGGCGGUGAGCUAAAAAAAUGCGUUCGGGCGGAUGGCAUAGCGCCUCGCACGUCCGACUCACAACUGGCCUCGUCCGAGCGAGAAAUCAGCGUGCGGCGAACCGCCAAACCUCCACACACCGGCCCUGUCCUACGUGGCACGUGAAAAAUGCCCCAAUGUGUCAAGAUUCGUGCAAAUUUAACUGGACGGUGAUCCAUGCAUGUGGGCGAGUUGGAAUAUUGCCACACGUGUGGGCAUUAGUGUUUUCAAACAUCUAUGACCUGAGACCCCAACCUAACCACUUGUUAGGUCUGGGACACACACUGGUCCGGCGUGCUCUCAGAGGCCGCCGCCGCCAACUGCCACGGCUCCAUCUUCAGAACUGUACUGAUGCAUCAAUCUUGCUAGGUCCAGCUAUCGUCGACGCCACCACGGCGCCCAACAGCACCUCCUCCUUGCGCGGAAAUAGCUGUACACGUCGCGAUCGCCACUGAUACACCUCAGCGCCAUGCUGCCACGUACCACCAGCCGACACAGCUUGAAGCCCUUGGUGGAUCUGUCGUGCGUAGCACCUGCCGACCAGGCAUGACCAAGCGUAGCACCUGUCGGUCAGGAAUGACUUGACAUCUCCACCGAAGCUCCGUGCAAGACGAAGCCGCUCCACCUCCUGCCUCUGACUUCCAGCGCUGCUCCACAGAACGACGCUCCCAAGAGAGAAACGACACCGCAGUGCCGCCAUCGUCCGGUCUGGAACACCAGAUCCUAGAGUUUCCCCCGGAGCAAUACGAGUGUGUUAUGUUUCUUGAAUUGCAGACUCUGAAUUUGCAUGUGUAAGGUUAUGGUACUGCAUGGUCGGUUGGAUCUGGAACACUCGACCCUCAUAUGGCAGCAACAUAUUUGAUUAUGUUCAGUUUUAGACUUGUUCUGCGGUUUUGGAUUUCUGAAACUGCUAGUUGACUGGAUAGAUGUUAGAGUAUGAUUGAUUCGAUGCCAAAAGUUGCCAAUGCCAAUAUUUGGCAAAUGACAAAUGUUGGCUAGUGAUUGGUUGGCUACCAACUUUUCUUCUCAACCUCACAAAAAGUUGCCAACAUUUGGCAACUUUUGAUUUUGCCAAACGUUGACUUGCCAAAUACGCUCUUAGUCUUCUAGGUAGAAGAACCACUUGCCUUGUGAAACGGCCAGAUCAUGGUUGAAUAUAUGUUUCUCCCCUGUCAUGCUAUGUUUAUUUUUGUAUAUCGCACAAGCAAUGCGGCCAAGGCUGAGCGAAUCCGGCUGACAUUGGCCGCCUGAUUGGGUGGCUGUGUGAUCGACGGAAGUAUGCAAAGGUUGUAAAAUCUGAAUAUUGACCUGCUGUUUCUCUUUGGGUGUGGAAGCAGUGGAUUCCGGUUGUAAAUCCAAAUUCAUAACCGGUGUAUUAUAGUGGUAGAGAUUAGUAGGAUCAACCAACCCAGCCGCCGCCUCCUAACCCUAAGCCGCCGCCGCCGCCUCGGUCCCCCUCCUCUUUCCCGUCCGGCGGCCUCGUCGGCGGCAAGAGGAGUGGGGACCCGUCUGUCUUGUUUUAUUUUUCUUAGGUUUUUGUUUCUCCGGCGGCAUCGACGAGGUGGUGGCGACGAUGGCGUGUUGGAAUAAAGUCUCUCCGGUCUCUCCCUACCUCGACGACGUCCGAUUCGGCAUCGGGAAGGGCCUGUGAGAGUUUGUGUCCCCAGAUCGGUUGGUUCCCUUCAGAUCUUGGCAGUUUGUGUAUCUUUCAAGGAGUACUUUUCGCUGGCGUUUGGUGUGGUGACCACGACAUCUUCUUCUGUGUUGUUCUGUGGCUUAACCCAGUUUCUCCAACCCUCUGAUCUGGUGGUGGUGGAUUGCAAGCUUGUUCUGUUUGGGGUGAUGCUCCAGCCGAUGCUGCUUCAACAACUUUUAGAUCUCGUCUCAAGGGGCGAGUGGCUAUUGCGGUCUUCAGAGCCUUGUAUGGCGAGGGCAUUUGCAGGUUUUGCUUUUUUUUGCUGUUGGUUCAGUGCAAUUUUCAAUCACUAGCGGGCAGCGUACAAUCAGAGGAAGAAGAAGACUAGUAUGUUUUUUAUUGUAAUUUUAUUUUUUUACUGGUCGUUCUACGUCCAGUUGUCUAUCCUUUGUACUGGCCUUUGUUUUCCUCAAUGAUAAUCAGAUUUAAGAUGUCCUUUGGGUGUCUUUAUUCAAAAAAAAAAAGAUUAGGAGGAUCUGUUUGGGAACUAUUUCUUUCAGUUUCUGGCCAAAUUAUAGCCAUGUAAUCUCUGUUAGACUAUGUCUAGUUCGAAAACUGUUAUUUUGCCUGAUGUGUGUGACUGACGUUGAGGAACAUGAUGCUCACAGGACCCUUUCUUGCACUUGAUUGGCCCGUCUCGUGCAAUUGUGGCUGGCAAACCUGUAUUGUUUCAAAUUGACCUGAAAUUGAAGAAUGGAGCACAGUUUGAACAUACAGCUUCGUUCACUGCCAACCAAAGUUACCGCUCUAUCGAGCGGUGUGACACCAUGCAGAUCCGCAGCAAUCCAGGCGACAAUAGUAGGUGUUCGUGUGGUUGAAGGGGAGUGGCCUUUUAAGUAUGGAUGUAACGUUUCUUGCUUGUUUUCUCCUGCCGAUGCAACUGAGGGAUCCGCGGAAGAAGUCGUCUUGCUUGACUGCCGCGCUAAAAGGAUGCGUGCAGGAUCAGAUGGCUAUCUUUCUUUGUCAAGAAAUGUUGUGUCAGUGGCGUUGCAGGGCACACUUCGAGUUGUCACAGGAGCAUACUCAAAGUCCGGCCUCAGUAUUGUUCGAAAAUAUCACAUCGAAUUUCCUAUCCAGCAGUCUCAGACAGAUAGUUGUAGAUGCUCAGUUGACGGCCCCACAUUGGAGAUAGUGAUUGCUUGGUCUCGCCUUGUCAUGGAGAAGCAUGAUCCUGCACAGCAGCGCGCACAUAAGAAGCAUCAACACCAAUGUGUUUGGUAAGCUCAUGCUUCACGGGGUCCCGUGCAAUACUGAUAGCACCAGUGCUGUCUGACAGGAGGGUGGUAGGUGUAGUAACAGAAACACCAAAAUCCUCCAGUAACCAUCGUAACCAAGUCACCUCAGCCGUAAGAAGAGCCAUAGCUCGCAACUCGGCCUCUGCACUCGAACGAGAAACUGCAAUCUGUUUCUUCGUCUUCCAGGAAAUGAGGGAACCACCAAGAAAGACACAGUAGGCAGAAAGUGAACGGCGAUCCGUAGGAUCACUAGCCCACGUAGCAUCCGAAUAGGCCUGGAGCUGUAACGAGCUGGAACGGGGGAAAAAGAGACGAUGAGAGAUCGUGCCACGAAGAUAUCGUAGAACGCGAAGAAGGUGACUAUAGUGAACUGAAGUGGGAGCAGAAACAAACUGACUCAGAAUAUGGACAGGAUAAGAGAUAUCCGGACGAGUGACAGCAAGAUACACAAGACUCCCAACAAGAUGACGAUAACGUGUCGGAUCAGACAAGGGCUCACCAUCAGAAGCACGAAGAUGAACAUUGAGCUCCAUAGGAGUCUCAGCAGUGCGCUCAUCACUAAGAGCCGCACGAGUAAGAAGGCCCUGGAUAUACUUUUCUUGGGAAAUGAAAAAGCCAGCAGAGGUGGAGGAAACCUCAAUCCCAAAAAAGUAACGAAGAGGACCAAGAUCAGACAUAAGGAACUGCUCAUUAAGACGGGCCUUGACAAAGGCAAUAUACUCAGAAUCGUCGCCAGUGAUGAUCAUGUCAUCAACAUAUAGAAGAAGAAGAGUGCGACCACGAGCAGAAAGGUGGACAAACAACGCUGGAUCAUGAUCACUGGGUGAAAAACCAGCAGCAGUGACCACAGAGGCAAACCGCUCAAACCAAGCGCGAGGGGCUUGCUUAAGGCCAUAGAGAGAGCGACGAAGACGACAAACCAUGCCAUCGGGAACUGAAUACCCAGGUGGUGGCUGCAUAUAAACCUCCUCAUGCAACUCACCAUUAAGAAAAGCAUUUUUAACAUCAAGUUGUGACACGGACCAGUGGCGAACAGAGGCCACGGCGAGAAGUGUGCGGACAGUGGUCAUAUGAGCCACAGGAGCAAAUGUCUCAUCAUAAUCACGACCAUGCUCCUGCUGAAAGCCGCGAGCCACAAGACGAGCUUUAUAACGCUCGAGAGAACCAUCAGAGCGAGUCUUAAUCUUAUAGACCCACUUACAAGUGAUGGGACGAACACGGGGAGGAAGAGAAACCAGAUCCCAUGUGCCGUUACGCUCAAGAGCAGCAAUCUCCUCUGCCAUCGCAAACUGCCAUUCAGGAUGAAUAAUAGCAUCACGAUAAGAGGUAGGCUCAAGUACAACUGAAAGGCCAUAUUGGCUAGGAGAAUAGCGGUCAGGAGGAGGGCAAGGUCGAGCCCGAAGACCAUAAGUCGGCUGGGACGAGGAAGACGGUGCACCAGAAGUAGAUGGCACGUCAGUAGAUUCAUCCAUAAGACGUCGACGACGGGUAUAAUGAAAAGGAAAAGUGGGAUGGGAAGGAACCACCGGAGGUGACGGAGAUGGAGAAGACAUCGGUGAUGAAGGUGGAGUGUCAUGCAAUAAGGAAGGAGAAGAAACGAUAGGAGAAGAUGGUGUUGGAUCUGCAAUAGGGGGACGAGAAGGAGGAGUAGGAAUAUGAGGCACAGAGGGGGGUGUAUCAGGAAACGUGAGAAAAGAGAUAUCCUCUACUGAAAAGGUCGAAGAGGAUGGUCGUGGGUAGAAUGGACGAGACUCAUCAAAAGUCACAUCCCUAGAAAUACGCAUCCGUCGACCGAUAGGAUCCCAACAUCGAUAACCCUUAUGUUCAUCACUGUAGCCCAGAAAAACACACUCGACAGACUGAGCGGUUAGUUUGGUGCGUUCUCGGGGGGGAAGGAGAACAUAACAAACACAACCAAACAACCGAAGAGCAGAAUAAUCAGGAGAAUGAUCAGAAAGACGCUCUAGAGGAAUACCUACCUGUAGAGCAGAUGAGGGUUGAAUGUUUAUGAGAUAUGUGGCAGUGGAGACAGCCUCAGCCCAGAAAUGAGGUGGAAGAGAGGCGGAAAUCAUCAUCGCACGAGCUGUCUCAAGAAGGUGACGAUGCUUGCGCUCGGCCACGCCAUUCUGAGCGUGAGCACCGGGACAGGAGAACUGAGCAAGAGUACCCUGCUCAGCAAGAAAACCACGCAACAUUUUGGAGAUAUACUCGCCAGCAGAAUCAGCACGAAACACGCGAAUAGGUGUAGAGAACUGAGUGUGGACCAUGGCGGCAAAACGCUUAUAAAUAGAGAGAACCUCACUACAAGAAGACAUGAAGUAAAGCCAAGUGUAGCAAGAGAAAUCAUCUAUAAAAAUAAUAUAGUAGCGAUGGCCCCCUUUAGAAGAGAAGGGAGCCGGACCCCACACAUCUGAAUGUACUAAAUCAAAAGGGCGCUGAGACACUGACUCGCUAGUAGGAUAAGGUAACUGAACUUGUUUACCAAGCCUACAACCCUGACACUGCAAGGAGACAUCUCCUGAGACAGGCCCCAGAAGACCACGACGAACUAAAGACGAUAGUCGAGAACCACAAAGGUGACCAAGUCGAUGAUGCCACUGCUGGAAGGAGCUGGUAGCUGAAGCGACGAAGGCAGAUGGACUGGCGAGUGUGGUGGUAGCGAAAGGAACAUUAAGCCAGUCCAACUCCCAAAGCCCCUGAGAAUCAUGGCGGCGCGGGCCAGCCCCAACCAGAGCCUUCGUGUGGCGAUCCUGGAUAGUGCAAGAAUCAACGUCAAGAAUGACACGACAACCAGAAUCAGUAAGCUGACCCGCAGAAAAUAGGUUCAUGGUCAGGCGAGGCACAUGAGAAACAUCUGGAACAUAAAAGGAAGAAGUGGCAAGAGUGCCUCGACUCGCAACAGGAAGAGGAGUACCAUCAGCAGUAAGAACAUUAAUAGGAAAAUCGAGAGAUCUACGAGAGGACAAGAUAGAAGAAUCGGAGGACAUAUGAAAUGAAGCUCCAAAAUCCAGAACCCAUGGGGAUGUACCUGACUGUGUAGACAAUGGUCGCUCAGCACUAGAAGCUCCAGUCACAGAGCCUGCAGUACCCGUUGAAGAACCUGAAGCAGCAAGUAGACGCUUGAGCUUCACAACAUCUUGCUCAGUCAAGGAGAUAGUAGACAGCGUCGAGGAAGAAGCACGAGUCCCAAAAGAAGAAUUGCGCUCCCUAUUACGCAUAUCACGCUUCUUCUUGAAGCAAUCAGACUCGGGGUGACCAUCCCUGUUGUAGUAGUCACAAUGAGUACGAGGACGAGAGCGGCCUUCACGAGAGCGGGCCUCAUUACCCGGAGGAGUGGGUAGUAGUGGUGGAGCACUGGAGCGAGAAGACACUGGUGGAGUAGCAGCUCGAGCACCGAGCACAGAGGGAACCUGAAGCAAACCAGCACCACGAAGGCGAGUCUCCUCAGCACGAAGCUCGGAAAGCACCUCAGAAAUAGGAACACGACCACGAGCAAACAACUGAGCACGUCGAGGCUCAAACUCCCCACGGAGCCGUGACAAGAACUCAUAGACGCGCUGAAACUCCAAGUCUGACCUCAUAGUCUGGCAACACGGGCAAGUGCCACAAACAGUAGUGCGAAGGGAGUCAAGCUGGCGCCAGAUAGCAGAACUCUGAGUGUAGAACUCAUCAAUAGUGGAGUCUCCCUGCUGAAGAGCAUGCUCCUGACGGACCAUAGACAAGUAGAGAGCAUCACCAGAGGGUUGAUACCGCUGACGAAGAUGAGCCCACAUCUCAAAGACAGUACCGAGGCCUAUAAACUCAGAAGCAAACUGAGGCAAAACACUGGAAGUGAGAACAGUCACAGCACGAGCAUCAUCGUCACACCACUGAGUGUAAGCAGCCAGAUCGUCACGAUAAACAGAAAGAGCAUUUGAAUAAUCCAAGACCUCCUGGUCAUAAGCGGCAGCUGCAUCAUCAGCAACAACCGUGGCUGCAGCCCUAUCAGCAUCAGAAGCAUCUGCGUCAGGAGCCAGUGGCGUCGGCGGUGGGGUAGGAGCCACAGGAGGCACUGGGCGCGGAGGACAGGGGACCUCACCGGAAAGAACACCCCACAGACGAAUGCCACGCAUGUGAAUGCGCAUAAAGGCAACGAACUCGGCAUAGUUAGCCCCAUCGAAUAUCACCGGGCAGCGCGGGAUGGCAACAUAGCCAGAUGAUGCCAAAGACAUGGUGCUCCUUUUCUGUCACAAAGACUCAACUAGCCAAGGUGAGAGCAGCCAGAACCAGCAGCAGAUCAAUCAGACAAAACCAAAAGGCAAACCGACUGAGGCAGGACAAACACGACGGCCCAUAGCAGCCCAAGGCAGCGAUCGAUCUGGACUUAAACAGCGGCAGUUUCACACGCACGCAUGCGAGCGCCCGUAGAAGCCAGCAGCGACUCGGAGAGGGCGGGGCCGUACGAGCGGCCGUCAGUGGCGGCCGGCGAACGGGGCCGGAGGAGCGCCGGGCUGCGACCGGAAGUGCAGACUCCGAUGGGCGGCGGCCGGAAGAGCAGCCGCCGAUGGGCGGCGGCGGCGGGCGGCGGCCGGAAGACGAGCCGAGCGGCGGCCGGACGAGCGGGCGACGGCCGGAAGACGAGCCGAGCGGCGGCCGGACAAGAUCCAGCGGCAGUUGACAGAGAAAGCCGGCGGCGGACAUCAGGUUGGUGGUGGCUGGAGACUCGAAUCAGGAAGAGGAUCCGAUCGAUCCGACCUACAGCAGCGGAAGGAGCGGCCUGGAACGGGCACGGCAGGCUGUAUGUGCUGCGGCAGCAGAGGAGGAGGGAGGCAGCAGCGAUGUGGAACAGCACAGCCAGGAUGUGGAUCGGAAGGGUAAGUUGCGAUACCCAGAGAAAAAAUUCCCUAACCUAUGCUCAUGAUACCAUGUUGAUGUUAGGAGAAUAGCAACAUAUAUUAUUAGGAGGCCAAUGCCAACAUAUAUACACAUACAUGAGGAUGCCAAAAGGCUACAAAAGGAUGCCAAAAGACUAGAAUACAAAAGACCAAAAGACAUCACUUAAUAUAACUCUAACAGACGGUUCCUGAAGGUGUGUGGAGUCGUAGUGCUUAGGCUUUUAUCUUGAUUUUUGAGCUUAGCUUAGGCUUAGUAUUUUUAUUCAGAUAUGAUAUUAGUUUCCCACUUUUGUCUCAUAACUUAUUACUAAACAUUUAUAAUGUGCAGGUUGAAGCGGGGUGAUUUAAUGGAGAAAAGGUUAAAGAGCUCAUGUUAUUCAUUUGGUAAGUCUGAACGAAUAGCUAAUUUGUUGAACUCGUGGUCUCUGAUUUUGUAAGCAAGAUAAGUUUGAACCAGUAGCAUGCUUAGUAGGAUUACUGAGUCUCAUGCCGGUGGUCUCAGUUUUAACGAGCUGGUCCAUUUUCUUCCAAUUCUUACUAACGAGCUGGUCCAUUUUCUUCCGAUUCUUACCCUUCUGUUCGUUAAUUCAGAACAGCGCAUGGAUUUGAUUCUAAGCAAUUUCUGUCUACAACACACAUGACUGACACUGCCACGUAUAAAUAGGAGAUGAAGUUUUAGAUGAACAUCAACCCUCAUUCAGUCUAAAAUACACGUACCAAAUCAGUCAUGUUAAGCCAUACUAGCAAAUUCCAGCAUCAAAUUAUUUGUCCAGUCAGGAAUUAGGGGGUCAUUACAGCACAAAUAACACACGCACCUUCACAUGCAAGUAUUUUUUACUCUAAAAUAUUAGUUUCAGGAUACCAUUGCUGGGAAAUUUUAAUAAACAACUCAGGGUGCGUUUGGAUGUAAGGCAAGGGGCAGCUCUACCCUAGCUCGGCAAGGUUUGCCAUUUGGUAUUUAAAAUAAAACUAGCUUCUGAAAGGUUUGGCCAGGGGUAUUUAAAAUAACAACGACUCAAUGUCAACUAGAGGAUUAAUGUUGAAGUCUAUAUGAAUCGUUCUCCAAAGCAAUUUGGUAAGUGGGUAUUCAAGGAAUAAAUGUUGUAUUGUUUCAUCAUGAUCAAAAAAACAACAACGUGAACUACCUACCCAUCACCUCUUGAUUAAGUUGUCCUUGGUGAGUAUUACUUGCUUGUGGACGAACCACAUAAAUUUUUUAAUACACCAAGGAACCUUAAUCUUCCAAAUAUGCAACAAUCUUGAGAUUGAGCCAGAAUUAAUAAAAUCAAUAUAGAAAGAUUUCACUGUAAAUACCUCAUUUUUAGCUAAUUUACAUUGCAUCGAAUCCGGCUGGUCGAAGACUUGAACAUCUAUCAAUCUCUGAACCAAGUGCAUCCGAGCAGUCCAUCGCUCACCAGUUAACGCACGUCUGAACUGAAUAUUCAAGGGAAUCGUUUGAAAAAUUGUGCCUACGUAAUCCUCCUUACGUUGCACAAUGUAAUAAAGGGUGGGAUAUUGUACGGCCAGGGGUGUCUCUCCUAACCACGUAUCCUCCCAAAAUCUUGUUGACAUCCCAUUGCCAACCAAGAAUUUGACCCUACGAAAGAACAAGACCUUCGUUCUCAUGAGCUCUUUCCAGAAUGGCGAGUCAGUUGGUCUCAUGGUAACCUAGACGAGCAUUUUUGACUGUAAAUACUUAUUGCGCAAAAUAUGUGCCCACAUGCCCUCCGGCUUUGUCUCUAACCUGUAGAGUCAUUUGCUCAUACGGCAUUUAUUCUUGAUUUCUAAGUUCCCAAUCGUGGGAGGUUAAAUCUCUAAUGAGCCAUUAUCAAGAUAACUAGCCUUGCUUCUAGCAGCUCUUUUUUUUUUAAAACAUUUUAUUUUUUAUUUUUUUGAAACAUUUGCUUCUAGCAGCUCUUGCCAGAGCAGGCUAGAUAAUUCUAGCCCAGCUAAUUCUAGCCAAACACACCCUCAGUUGCCCAGGUUGGAAUUACGCCCAACAAUUUAGAUAUAUUAAAACUGAGCACCCUCCCAGCUCUCUCAGACCAUUAGCAUUUCUAGCCGUUAGAUCGCCACUUUUAGUCGUUUUCGGCCGUCGGAUCGCUGUUAGUGGCACCUAAAUCUCGUACGCACGCGCUAACUCGCGCGUCAGGCCGCGCUGGGCUUUUUGGGCCGCUGCUCCGGUUGCUUUUUUCGCUGUCUCACGUUCAAUUGGGCCUACUGGCCUAUUGGGCCUGGCCUUCUCUACCGCCCAACGCAGCGCGCACAGGUGAAACGCCACGCACGAGCCCUAAACCAGGUUCGCAACCUGCUCUGUUCCAAGUGCGCUGCCUGACAUUGGCCUCGGAGUGCAUUGGCGGUUGGCGCGCCGACGCGAGCGGCGCGACCGGAUGGGGCACGAACCCUAGCGGCGCGGUCGGAUGGGUAAUGGACCCUAGCGGCGCGGCCGGAUGGGGCACGGGCGCCAGCGGCGGAGCCGGUUGGAGUGCGGCGGACAACAGGCAUGAGAUUCAAUCGCGAACGAUGAUUAAUCGGGCCAUUAAUGCCAAUCGAUGCUCCGGGAAGGUCAGUUCCAUCGCUAUUCAUGCCAAUUGAUUGAUUGCGAGGUUAAUCCUGUAAUUGAGAGGUUAAUCGUAUCUCUGUAUAUUCACCCCAGCCUAUAAAAUCCCAAACUUGCAGCUGGUCCUUUCCUACUCUGCUCAUUUUCGCAAACCACAGUCCAAAAGCAAGGUGAUGGGUGUUGCUUAGGUUCCAGCUCUGUUUGGUUUAAGGUGAUGUGCUUGUUCCAAUUCUCAGUUAUUGUCUAUCUAAAUAUGUACUGACAUGUCCUCCGUCUAAUUCAUAGUUUCAAAUGAUUACAGCUUCUCUCCAGGUUGGAAUUCUAGCGACGUACUGCUUGGUAUCUUUGGUUCUUCCAGUUGAUCCAAUGGCUAAUGGACAAUCCAGACUGGCCGCUGCUCCUUUCCCACUCUCCUCACUCUUGCAAACCAAUCUCCAGCAGCGAUGGGUGAUGUUCAGGUCUUCAGUUCGUUCCAAUUGUCUCUGUUUGAUGCACCUCCUCUUCCCCCAACCUUCACUUUUAGAAUUUGUUUUGUUUACUGAUACUGUUCUUUGUGCUCACAAAAAAUGCAGGUGUUCUGUUGGAUUAGAAAGUUUAGGAAUUAACCAUUUGGAAGGUGAUCCACUGGUUUCUAUGUUUCCAAUCUAUACAGUACCUCUUGCUGCUCCCCUGAGCAAUUAUUUGACCAUGCUUUGUACUCCGGUCCAAUGUUAUCCCAUGUACAGAUUUGUUCUUUGUCUAAUUUAUAGAUUCUAAUGCUUGGAUGUUCGAAAUAAGGUCGAAUUCAAGCUAUGUACUGCUGGUUUCCUUUCUUUCCUCCACGGCGACCUGAUACGGCCCAUACGGGCUGCAAGGAGGCUCCAGAGUUACCACCAUUGGUCCUCCCUGCCAUUUGCUGAAUUAUGCUUCAUCGCAUAUUAGCCAGAAUUCGUGGCUGAUGUUCUAUAAUCGAUCAAGCCACUUCCCAGUGCUUAUGUAAUCUUUGUACUGAUAGGAACUAGGAAUUUGGAAACACAAAUCAGUACUACUAAUUUACCGUGGAGCCGUGACAACAUCGUGCUUUGUUUAUUCACUUUUAAAAGUUAAACUUAAACUGGCAAAGUGGUUACUGUUUUAUUUUAUCCCUGUUAGUCAAAGCUCAUGUAAUGUGACUUGCCAAGUUUCUGUUGAAUGUAUUGUUUAAAAAGAAAGAUCCGAAGGAAUGAUUAUUUGGCAUCAAAUUAAGUACUGUCCUGCAUGAACUUUGUCAUGUUUACCCUCUUCUAAAUUUUUUAUAUGCUUUACCAACUAUAUCUCCCGAUGUUAUAAGUAUUACCUUGUAGGCUGAUACUAUUACAGUGAAGACAUAGAAAAUGAAUUAUAGAAGUUAUUGAGCAAGGAGUGAGGCAGGUCAAUCUCUCUUGUCCUGUUUACUACAAUGUUAUAGUGAAUGUUCAGGAGUUUACCACAAAUACAUGUUUAAGUGAAGAGAAAGCAUCCUACCAGCGAUUAUCUCCCAGUCUUUAGGUUGACCAAUUUCAUACAAGAACCCUUUGUACUUAUCUUAUUUAUGAGUAUUAUGACACUUCGAUGACAUGAUUUUCCAGUGUAAUUUUCGGAUUUUGCAGAAAGAAACACCUAACAUCCAGCAACUGACAGCAUCAUAAGCAUUGUUUCCCCUUACCAAUAACGGUGCCAUGUAAAGGGACUAGCUACACCUACUGAUUAAUAAUACAAAGAUUAAGAUUCCCUGGGAGUUGGGAUUGCAUCUUUAUUUUGCGUCCACUUCAGUUCUUUGCUUUGAUAUGGCAGGAUUGGUCAUCUGAUAACCCUAAAAGGUCCUCUUUCUUAUCAAAACGAACAAUACUCCAAUAGAAAAAAAUUGACCAGCUGAUAGAUAAAUAUAUUUUAUUUUUCUGAAUGUUGUAUUUAUCGACUCUAGCAUGGAAGAACAAAGUACGAACAGUGUGUUUGGAAUUUCAGUGAAGCCAUUGUUCUGUUCUUUUUGGAUAGUUUGAUUUAUUUAGGUUCUGUUCUCGUUUAUAUAAUUUGAUUUUUCACUCGGUGACAAUGUUAAUUGUAAGUAAACUGAACCAUUUGAAUCUAUUUUAUGAUGCAACCAUUUAUAUUCUCAAUUAAUUUCUUUGUUAUUUACUCAAGAUGGGCAUAAUCAAAUUAGGCAGGCUUCUAUAGUAUUAUACUCUGUAGUACGAUAAAAUGGGAAUCUUGCAAACAUAAAGCCAUCUUAACAUCCUUGUUUUGUGUCUAUCUUUAUGAGCUAUCAUAUAAUCCAACCAUCAAAAUAGACGGGCGCAGCAACGCGCGCCAUCAAUGAUCUAGUUCAGCUUACAAGAUAACAAAGAACCCUUUGCAAUGCACAACUGGAGGGAAUUCGAUUCCUACUGUCUAACUACUUGGAGACUAUUCUUUGUAAAACUCAAGCCCCUGCCCCCAGUGUCAAUCAGCCGCCUUCUGUACAAUUGUUUCUCCAGUGACCCCUACACUUGCACCGAGUAGGUUUGCAUGGUUGCUUCAUAUCUCCCCAGGCAGGUAGUUCACUUGUUUUUUU